This 62031-nucleotide long non-coding RNA is filed under the name Ananas comosus (pineapple). Its description in RNAcentral is "long non-coding RNA (ACOM_LNC028578)". Lineage: Eukaryota; Viridiplantae; Streptophyta; Magnoliopsida; Poales; Bromeliaceae. The record is from RNAcentral.
AUACUAUCAGUAGCACGAAAGCCUCCGUGCUACCAAGUUAUUUUCGACAUUGCGGUUUCCAAAUCAACGAUCAACUCCGUUAGACUUGAUCUACACUAUUGAAAGUAUUUAAAAACUAAAUCUUAUAAUUUUUCGAUAUCAUUUACAUAUCAAACGAGUAGUCUAAAAAUGAACAGCUGAAAAUAAAAAUAUCAUAAAAAAUGAUGAUAAAAGACUUGAAUUUAAGAUUAGAAGUACUGAUCUUAUUUUAAAAGUGAAAAAAAAUAUCUAUAAAAAUUUUAUCAGAUUUGAAUUGUUUUAUACCGUUAAAUUGACAAACGCAUCACAUCGAUCAUUAAAAUUGUCAAUUUUGAGACAUUUUGAUCACUAGCCAAAUGAUAUUGAAAAAUUAUGAAAUUUAGUUUCCAAAUGCUUUUAAUAGUGUAGAUCAAGUCUAACAGAGCCGAUCGUUGAUUUGGAAGCCGCAUCAUUGAAAACUACUUGCUAACACGGAGGCCUCCGUGUUAUCGAUAGUAUACUAGCCUAGCGCUCUCUCGCUCUCUCUCUCUCUCUCUCUCUCUCUCUCUCUCUCUCUCUAUAUAUAUAUAUAUAUAUAUAUAUAUAUGUGUGUGUGUGUGUGUGUGUUCUUCUUAGUGAUAUAAAUAUUUGAUGCCCCACUUUAUUUAUGCUUGUAGAGGAUAGAAAGAUUCUUUAUUGUAGGAAGGAGGUAAUCUGUGAUGCUACUUAGCGGAGGCCAAAAUAUUUUCCCUGAUAGGUCUAAAAUAUUAGUAGUAUUGCAACAAGUCUUCUAUAGUUCCUGGAGUGCUAGACUUGCAUGUUGUUGAUGGGUCGGCAGACAUAAUGAUACGACCGACUAUUCAUUAGUUUGUGUAUGCAGUCUAAAUUGCUGUAUGGGUUUGCCAGCACGUUGGAAGGAGAUUCUUCGUCCGGCGGACACACAACAUUUUGAAGUAUUUAAUCUCAAAUCCAUCGCAUUCUUUCUAGCUCAUUGCUUUCCGAGGUAAGUGAUGAUUUGAGCGGAGGGUUGAAAUCAAUUUUUGCUUCGUUGGAGAUACGGCAAUGGCGAUCUCUACAAUGGUUCUCGACUUGGCCUAUGAGAUCUGAAUACUUGGUACGUCUAUUGUUGUCUCUACCUGUUUCUUUUUAUUAUUUUUAUUAUAGAGAGGAUUGUAUAAAAGAGAAGGGAGGGUUAUUGGAUAUGUGUACCUAAUCGGCUAUUUCUACACUUGGAACGCAGUUUCUCGGCAGUUUAUUUUUUAAAAAAUUUUCUUUUUUAUAACAUUCAAAUUUGAUAGGAGUAAACUAAGGGUUAAGGUGUCGUGGCCGUGCCAGGACAUAGUAGUAGAUUUUUAACAUAUAUAAUAUAAAAUUAAAUUUUGAAAUUUUUUUAAAAUAAUUAUAAAUAUUAGUUAUGUAUAGUUUACUACCUAUAACAAUUAAUAUAGUGGUAGAUUUUUUAGAUGUGUAUAUAAAAUAAAAUAUGACUAUGACUUACAGGAAAUGAAAAGUAAAAAUUGAUUAACUUUAAAUUUUUUUUUCAAUUCUAUUUUUAUUCGAACUUACAAAAAUUAUAAAAUAUAAAAUUAGAAAAAAAUUAUUUUUUAAAUUUUUUAUAGAAUUUGUAUGAUUCAUCAAUAUGACGAGAGAUUUCAUGAUGACUAGGUUAAAUAGAAUUGAAAAAAAAAUUUAAAGUUAAUCAAUUUUUACUUUUCAUUUCCUGUAAGUCAUAGUCAUAUUUUAUUUUAUAUACACAUCUAAAAAANUAUUUAAUUAUUUCAGUGUUUUGUUUAAUUUUUAAAAAAUAUUUAUUUGAAAUUUGAAGGGAAAAAUUAUUUUUUACUAAAUUUUUUUUAAAAGAAUUGUAAAAUCUUAUGUAAAUAUGUAACAAUAAACUAUAUGACGAAUAAUUAAAUAAAUUUAAAUAUUAAAUUAUUUAAAUUUAAUUUUUUAUAUUUAUUAGUAUUUUUUAUUUUCUAAAUUUAAAAAUUGAAUUUUCAAAGUUGAAAAUUUUUUUAUUGCAAAUCUCAGAGGCCACUUUGCAUAAGAAGUUUAUUGGUUUUGAAAUUUUGCAAAUAUGGACUAUCUUUUUCGUUUUUGUAGAUAUGGUCUGAAUUUUCAGUAAAUGGAUAGAUUUUUUUUUUUUCCUCUUGUUCGUUAUUUUUUGCUACCAUUUCGUCUUCCCACUCUUCUUCUUUGCUUCUUCUCCAUUUUCCUCUUCCACUCUUUAACCUGGCCGUCAAUGCGGAGGUGAGCGUGUUGCGGAGCGCAUGGCUACAGAUGCCGAUAGCAACGAGGAUACCAAAGAAUUUAAAGACGAUUGAGUGGGAGUGUCAAGCAAGGGAGGAAGAGCAAUAGCCGAAAAAAAAUAUAUAGGUGGAAAAAAAAUAUAUUUUUUCUCUAGGGAAGAUUAUAUGUUGUCACUGCUAUAGAAAAUGACAAGAAAAAAAAUAAUAUUAUUUAAGACAAAAGUAUAAAGUUGUAUUUUUUUUAUACAAAAGUUGUACUUUUUGAAACGAAAGUUGUAUUGUUUAAAUAAAAAUUGCAGUAUACAAAAUAAAAGUUACACUGUUUUAGACUAUUGAACUGUUUGAGGCUAAGUUUCAAAUAGUAUAACUUAGUUUUAAAUAAUUUUAAAUGGUACAAUUUUUUUUAAAAAGUGCAAAUUUUAUUUUAUAUGGUCUCAAAUGAUUUUAAAUAGUGCAAUUUUUGUUAAAAAAAAUAUAAUUUUCGUUUAAAAAAUAUAAUUUUCAUCUCAAAUAAUAAAAUUUUCAUUCAAAUAGUACAAUUUUUAUCUAAAUAAUAUAAUUUUCACUCGAAAAGUCUAAAUUUUAUCUCAAAAAGUAUAAUUUUUAUCUCAAAAAAUAUAAUAUUUAUCUUAAACAAUGUAAUUUUAUUUUCUUUUCUUUUUAAUUUUUGAUCUUUUCUUUUUCUUCUUUCCUCUUUGAUUUUUGACCUUUCUAUAACAGCGUUGGAAGGAAAAUAUAUAUAUAUAUAUAUACUUUUCUAUUUUUUAUUAUUUCUUUUUUUUUUUUCACCGUUUGGAUUUCUUUUUUUUAAUCGCCGUUGCCAUCCAUUGCCAUAGACUUCACCGGAAGCUCACCUUUGCGAUCAAUGCCGUAUCAAUUCAGAAAAAUAUUAGUGAUAAUCUACAUGAUGCAGUGGCUUCGGUGAACACACCCCCACCCCCCCACCCCCCAAAAAAAAACUAUUCAUCAUGACGAGUAUAAAAAUAUUAAGCGCUUUCUAAAAAAUACUUAAUCAAGCUCAUAAAAAAAGACAAGAACAAGGCUCAUCUUUUGUGCUCCUUGGAGAAGCGGAAGUGCGUCUUCGUUCUCACCCUCACGGGCGACGACGAGCAUCGCCUCAGCCACGAUCUCAUUACCUCCACCCGCUUUACCCCUGCUCAUGCCCACUUUGAGUCCUUUUUGAGCACCCAUCAUAGGGAGAGAAGGCAUCGCAAAGGACCGCAGCAGACAUGGCGGAGGAGAUGAUGAGGGUCGGAGAGAAAAAGACGAAGAAGAAAAAAAACGAGAAAAAUAAAUAAAAGUAUUUUAAUCAAUUUGCUGAAAAUUCAGAUCAAAUCUGAAAAAAAAAAAAAGAAAAAAAAACACUCACUAUUGCAAAAUUUCAAAAUCAUUAAGUUUUUUAUGCAAAUUGGCCAGCCUCAAAUUCAGUACUAGAUUUAUUUAAAAUAAUUUAAAAUUAAAUUACAUAAUGGCUUUAUCAAGUAUAUUUAUUUUUAAAUUUUUAUAAAUUAUAAAUAAAUAAAGAGUCCUGCUGCUAUGCUAUCGAUAGCACCAAGCACUUAAUGCUAUUAAGUUUUCAGCCGUUAGAUUAACCCAUUUGAUUAUUUUUACCUGUUAGAUUAUACUAUUCAACCAACCACCCACUCACCCCUAAGAAGACCCACAUCAUCCUAACCGCACAUCUUUUAAUCCAAUGGUGAAAAACUUAAUAGCACUAAGUUAUUGGUGCUAUUAAUAGUAUUCUAGCCUAGUUCAUAAAUAUUUGCAUAACUUCAUAUUUCUUCAAAACAAAAACUUUACAAGCCAGAACAUUCAAAAUAUAUGAAAAAAAUAAAAUUAUAAUUUUUUUUACUUACCUAAUAAGCAUAUCUUCAAUUUGCUAUUUUUUUACCUUUUCUCUUAAGAUCAAAAUGAUCAAAGCAGAAAUAAAAAAAAAAAAAUAAAAGAAAAAAUAAGAAAAAAUAUUAUGAAAAAAAAGGAGGAAAAAAUAGAAGAAAAAAAAAAGACGAAGAAAUAGCAAGAAGAAAAAAAAAAGAUUAAAAGAGCGACGUGAAAAGAAAAAAAAAACAUAGAAGAGAAUAAGAGAGGGAUGUGCGUGGGCAACAAAAAAAACAAAAAAAAAAAAAAAAAAAAGGAAAAAAAAAGGGUUGCCACGAUACCGUUUGGAUAUCGCCAUGGCUUGGACGAUACUCUUUGGAUAUUGCGCCACACAACAUGGGAGGGUCCAAGAGAAAUCCCUCUCGACCGUGCUCCUUAAUUGGUGCUCCUUAAUUGGUGGUACGGUACGUAUCGUCCCGUGCUGACCGGCAUAGAGUGAUACAUUAAACCUUGGAGUAAACUUAGGUUCGGUGUGUUCUUUUGCAUCAUGCGAUAUCAUCAGAAUACCCUUACGAUAGAUAGAUAACAUUCGUACUCGAUCCUCUCUGCAAUAAUUUGCUCACAAUGACAAGCAAUUCACAAAGUUUGAAGUAGAAGAAUACAUAUAUGAUACAAUUAUUAGGAAACCGACUACGUCAUAUUUGUACGUACUUUAUUUUUGAACUAAACUCUGAGACAAAACUCUGAAACUUUAUGAUCUGUAAAUACUAAAAAAAUGUAAAGAAUUUGAUUCCACAAACUGUCUACAUUCUUUUACCGCAGAAACUGUUUUGAUUACUUACACAGGAUUGAAUAUAUAUUUACUUCUACUCACAGGAGUAAUAUGUUAGAACAUGAAUUACUUACCAAGCACUUGAACGAGGGAAUGUACAGUGAAAAUCUCAGGAUCCAGAAAACAAGUUACCAAUUUUUCGAAGUUCUUUUAGAGCAGCUAUAGCUUCUUGCUCCUUGCCUCUGUUGCUCGCAGCGUUUGUUAGGUUAUCCACCAAAUCCAGGCCCAAGUCUUGCUCAAAAAACGACUCGAUCACCUACCAUUACAACAGUUAGAUUAUUACAAAGUUGCAUUAAAAAGAUAAAAGAUAAGAGACCAAACGAUAAAAUAUGCACCGAUUGCACUCGCAUCUAAACUAUUGUUUGACCUUUCCUUGUUAAUAAGGUUCAAAAAUAGUAGAAUAUGUGUUAGGCACAAGCCCUUCUUGCUGAUUGUGUAAUAUGCUCGUAGUAGUGUUUGUUUGAUGGUAAUAAUGAUUAUAGCUGCCAGCAAGGUGCAUUCCACGGUCCUGUGAAUUUGCUUACGAAGACAAAGCAUAUAAACAAAAUCUAAAGGCAAGAUAAGUUAUAGAGAAGGUUAGUAUGUUCCAACCUUCGAGCUCUAUCGAUAUGCUGAUGACAUCCUUGAAGGAACUAUGCGUACAUAUGCAUGCACAUAUAUUAAUGCAGACUGACAUACAAUUCAGAGAUGACAAUUAUGUUUGAGCAAUGCCAGAUAGGAUCUCUAAAAAAGCCUCAUAUUAGAAGUUUAGAACUGAAUGUACGAGUGUCUCGUAUGAAGUAUUUUUUACCUGGAUAUUAGCAAGAAUUGAGCGGCCAAGACACCUAAAGGUGUUCAUCACCUCUCCAUCUCCCGCUUCUGGAUUCAAGCUAACUCCGCAGGAAUGACAACGCUCACAAGAAGCCAAAAUACUUAAUAUAUCCUGAGAAAUCACUUCAUUCCCAGAAGAAUUUUGGGGCUUAAAAUCCUUUUCUUUAUUAAACGCUUUACGUGUUUCGGCAUCAAUACUACUGCUUCCUAGCUCCUCCACAUGACGAAAUUCAUCAAUAUAAUUAGCAAUAAAUGGUGAAGCAUCACUUCGUCUACAACUCACAACGUCAUGAUUAAUCUCUUCUUCAUCGGCACAAUUGAUUCCUUCUUCUGAACCUGAGGGAGUAAAACCACUUGCUCUCGGCAUGUCAGAGUUUUCAUCAGCGUGAUUUCUACCAUCCAAAAUUAUGCGUCUAAGAGUAGACCAAUGAUCCUUUUUCUUGCUCGCAACUGUUUUAUCAGCAUCAGAUUCUGCUUGAGGAGAGAGUAAUCUCUUGUUGAACAGACCUUUUCUCGUCUUACUAAUAAUGGAACCACCACGAGUAAUCUUAGAUAGAACUUCUGUAUCAUAAAUCACCUUCCACUUCUCUUCCCAGUAGUCUGAUGAAGUCUUGGGGUGAUCCAAAGCAAUCAUCCCAUCACCUUUUACAUAAUUCCUGAAGGUCCUCUGUUGGCAAGAAGAAAAGUUUAUAUCAAGAGCAAGACUUUGCAGUGAUUUUGCCUUCCCGAUCAAUUUCCUCACAUUUAUAUCUUCCGGGAAGUUCACCAAUCUCUGAAGACAGGUAGUCGCAUGCUCACUAGCCAAUAGUGAUGAUCUUAGGUGAAGCAGCAUUGAUAUAGCCAUUGAUAUAAUGAAUGCUCCGCGAGGAGAAGAUAAUACCUUAUAAUCCCCUCUGUUCUCUUUAUCCGUGUUGAAUGUACUAUUCGGAUAAUAGAAGAUCUCAUCCCAAACAGCCAAGAGAUUUUCGAGUGAAAAUUCACGCCCAAAUAAAACUCGAAGCCACCGUAGAGAAAAGUAUUGAGGUUCUACCCCCAAUUCAGUGAGGUGGCUGUAAAGAGAUAAAUCAAUGCUUGAGAGCAAAUGAUAUAUUGCCUCUGACGCUUCGAGCACUGGUGCUAGUCCUGUAUUGGAUUCCUUAGGAAGAGAUACAGAGAAAAAAUCGGCUAUAGCAAUUAUACCACUUGCACCGUUCAUUAAACCAUCAAACAUGCAAUAGGUGUCAUGUUCGAGGAAUUUCUCAGAUAUGACAAUACCCAACUCGCCUUCCGCUCCAUAAGCAUCGUUCAUCAAAAAUAGCUCCCUUGUAUCAGGAUCGAGCUCAUCCAAACUGCUUAUUUCGGAAGCAUUCUGCCAAGAAGAGCCAUUCUUGUUUGUCCUUACAUUCGUUGGCUCCUCUGAUUUGUAGUCAGAAAUUAUAUCUCUUUCUGGAAAAGCUGAACUGUUAUAAUCGCCAAUAAGGCGGUCUUCUUCGAGGCCGUGUGCUUGAGAGGAGUGCUGCACAUCAACAUGAAGUACAUAUAGCAGAGGAGCUAAAAGUUCAUGCAUUCCUGUAAGAAAGUAAAAAUAUGCACAUGAUAACAAAUGUCAAAUGCAUAAAAUAGAUAAAUUUUAUUGCUAGCCUGAUUACUAGAAUGAGUUUGAUAACGAAAGAAGAUUUAAUAAAAUAUAUAUAUAAGGCAUCAAGACAAUUUAAAAGUGCAUAAUAUCAUUCAAGAUGAUUUUUCUUUUGUAAAAAAUAAGAAAAGCACUUGCCUUGCCUGUAUCCGUACUCUGGGUGCUUAAGACACCACACCAAUAGUAUGCGACCUAGCAUGGAUUGGCAUGCUGCUGUUUGGAAGUAGCUCCCUUCUUCAGGAUAGAGCCGUGAUAGAUCUUGAUUGAGCGUUUUCUCUAGUUCAGCAUUCUGGAAAAAGCGGCCCCACAUGCUGUCUACAGAGGUAGCAUAAAGCAAAAUAUGCAAUAACUUAAAUAGGAAUCAUGAAUUCUGGCCUUAAGAGAGUAGCUAAUUUGGGCCCUCUUCACUCAUAGAUGUUAGGAAAUGAAAAUGCGGUUAUAUGUAAUGAAAACAUGUGCAUCUAUAAGAAGACAAAUUUGCAUCUUAAAAAUCUUCCAGCAUCCAGGAUGGGAAGUAUUAAUAAGAAUGCUGAGUAAUAUUGAAGAAAAUGCUUUAACUAUCAAACUGCAAAUUAAGUUACAAUGUCGGUCGAUAUCACAAAUCAGGUGAUCAUAAUAACCCCGACCUUUAAUUAGUCAUAUUAGCUAAUCCCAACCGAGAAAACUUCAAAUUCAAAAAAGUGUAGAAAACUGCAGAAGCUUAUAAUUACUUAGAUCAUCUGCUCGAAAGAAACACUAGAAUGUGGAUUCAAACAAUUCUCAACCUAUAUUAUAUCCUUCAGAACUUCCAUCCGAGAAAAGUUAAUAUUCUUCAGGAGCAAAUAAGAAAAAUAUACCUGGAUUUUGCGACAAUGGAUUUUCCACAAUGGGAUCAGGAGGCUUGCUUUCAUCCUUCAAGAGAUGUGGAUCAAUGAGAAGUUGACGCCUCAAACUAGCAUAUCUAUCAAUAGAAACACAAUAGAGAAGAAAAGAAUAAAAAUAUUGAUCUCUUCAGAUAUUGCAAUCUGAGAAUAUAGAAUAAUUUAUGACUAAAGCAGGGAAGUAUGAUUCGCCAAAUUCUCCAAAUUCGUCAUCAAAGUGAACACUUCAUCUUUGUGCCUCAAAGCAAACUCUCUAACAAUAAACAAAUUGGUCAGAACUAACAUAGCCUUUUCAUGAUAGAGACAAGCAGAGAAAAAUGAUCAAUCAUGACAGUGCGAAUCCAAAAUGAGACAAAAAAGGAAUUAAGGAAUGUUAAUGAAACAAAUGUCCAAAAUGAGACGAAAAGGGAAUUAAGGAAUUUUAGUGAAACAAAUGUUAAAAACGUAUUAGAAAAGGGAAUUAAAGAAUAUUAAUGAAACAAAUGUUAAAAAUGUAUUAGACCUAAUCUAAAUUAUGGUGCAUUUUCAAAUAAAUACUGAAACUGUAAAAAAAAAUUUGAUUUUAUUACACAACAUAUUUGAUUUAGCAACCUCACUCUCCGAAAUAAAUGCUACUUCUAAAUUUUUGACGUGAUAUUUUGUAACAUGAGCAACAAAGGGUAGUAAAAUCAAAAUUUCCAAAUUUCAAUCAGCCAUUUCAACAUACGCUCUAUAGCGCAGGUAACAUUUGUACCUUUUUAGCCAAAUAAAUGGAAGAAUACGUAACUUUUAAAUGCUAAUCAUGAUUAAAUGGCUUGUUCGCAAUAAAACCACCAACAUCUGCGGUUAAUUAUCAAACCCUACCAAUCAAAUGUGGCCGGAUUUUGUUCUUUGUUGAAACAUAAAAUCACAAGGAUAAAGGGAUUAAGAAUAAUCCAAUCUACAAUCUCCAAGAACCUGCAUAAACUCCCAGUUUUCUACACUGGAAUAAUAAUUAGGGCUCAAAAGUUAUCAAUCACAAAUUCUAUAAACAAAAUGAGAUUCCCAAAACCUAUAUCGUUUCCUUAUCAAUAGAUCAACAAGCAAACACCAAUGCCCAUAGUUAAUUGCAGCAUUCUUGAGCGCAAGAAACCCUACUUUAAUUGAAUCAAAAUUAUAAACUUAAAUACCAGAACCGAUUCGAGAUAAGGGUUUUCUCAAAGAUUCGAUCUAACAAAAUUAGAAAAGAAUUAAGGGGGAAAAGAAAAAGGGAAAAAGAUUCGUAAAUUCGACCUCCUCCGAGAAUCCGCGGCGACUCUUCGGAUCUCCUCGAUCGAGGCGGCGGAGCUCGGCAGGAUCCCGAGAUCGACUCGCCACCGAACCCCUCGAAGGCUCCCGAACCUCUGCCUCGGAAACCGCUCCCCGGAUGAGGAAAUCGCCAUUUCUCUCUCUCUCUCCCUCUCUCUCUCGCCUCCCCACCAAUUCCAGAUCACAACAUCGAGAUCGGAUUUGGGGAGAUCGAAUUUGGGGGGAAAUGGAGAGGAGAAAAAUCUAAUACGAGGGGAUUUGAAUUGGGAGAGAGAGAGAGAGAGAGAGAGAGAGAGAGAUGAGGAGCCGAGGUGUUGAGGGGUUAAAUAUGUGAUUUCCCUUUUUCCUUUUUUCCUUUUUCUUUUCCUUUUUCUUUUUACAUGGCUAUUUUUUUUCCUUUAAAAAGAAAUUGAACCUCAUGUAUCCAUUUAUCAAAUUCUAGUUUGAAUUUUGCUGAAUACAGCCGAUUUUAUCUUUUAAUUUUUAAUUUUUUUAAAAAAAUAGUAACUUUAUUUAUUUUUGAAAAAAUAAAUUUAACUAAAAAUACGAAGGAAAUAAAUUUUGAAAUUGAAAUCUCGAAUAUUAAUUACUGAGUUCGGCUAUGGUGCUGGUAAAAGUACCAAGUAUUUGAUAUUUGUAAAUUUUUUACUGUUAGAUCUACGCCUUUAAUCAUUUUCAUCCGUUAGAUUAUACUAUUCAACCAAUAACCCACUCAACCCUAGAGGGCCCACAUCAUCUUAACCGCACAUUCCUUAAUCCAAGGGCUAAAAACUUAUAAGCACCAAUAAUUUGGUACUUUUAAAAGCAUAGGAGCUCAAUUCUUAAUUAUUAAUAUUUUUGUCAUUUGACAUGCGUCAGAUGUUAUUGUUGUCUAUUUCAUUCUAAUAUAUGAGAAAAUGAGAAUAAAAACAAGAUAGGUGAAAUAAUAACCCGGAUAUCUUACACUGUACAUUUACAAUUAUAUGUCAUAAGAAUCUUAAUUAGAAUCUAGUUAGUUAGAUAAAUCUACCAUUUAUUACGGAUUUAUUAUUGAAUUUUAAAACCCGCUAAUAUCAAUAAUUUUAAAAAUGUUAUAUAUCUUAUUUAAUAAAUUUAAAAUUUGAAAGUACGAUAUUAAUAUCACAAGUAAGUAAAGAAUACAAAUAUAUGAGAUGAAAAAAUAUAUCUAGUUAUUACUAUUAUUAUUAAUAUUAAUAUUAUAUUAUCCUCUAGGAUCCAUUGGCAUAUUCCACUUGGCAUAAAAUAACAAAAUGCCGCAUCAGCAGCAUAGACAAAUGGAAUGUCCACUGAGCAUUAAAAUAUCUCACAGUGAGAUGCUUUGGGUUACUAAAGAAGCUAUUGUCCUUUUCCAUUGUUGGUUUUGAAUAUAUAUUUAUUAUACAUUUAUACUUGGCCACAGUUUCGAUUGGGUACAAAAAAAAAAAAAAAAAAAAAAAGCACGNAAGUGUAUCAAGUUAGUACCCUGUGGUUUCUCACUUUAUCACUUUAGUACCCUGUGGUUUAAAGUGUAUCAAGUUAGUACCCUGUGGUUUUGCAUUUUAUCACUUUAGUACCCUGUGGUUUUGAUUUUGUAUCAAAUUAGUACCCUGUGGUUUUUUAAACUAUAGGGUACUAAAGUGAUAAAGUGUGAAACCACAGGGUACUAAAGUGAUAAAGUGCAAAACCACAGGGUACUAACUUGAUACACUUUAAACCACAGGGUACUAAAGUGAUAAAGUGAGAAACCACAGGGUACUAACUUGAUACACUUUAAACCACAGGGUACUAAAAUGAAAAAGUGUGGAACCACAGAGGGGGUUUUGAAGUUUUCCCAAAAAAAAAAAAGGGGAUAAAGAUUUUAUCCCUCCUCUUGUGUCCAAAUAAGAAGUUGGGUGGGUGGGAACUUGUUCCCCUGGUAGAGAGAGAGAUAUUUUUAUUUUAAAUUAGAAUUUAAAUUUUUAAAAUUUUAAAAAUUGUAAUCUCAAAAUUAGAAUUUAUAAUUUAAAAUUCUAAAUUUUAAAGUUUAAAUUUUAAAUUUGAUAUUUUAAAAUUUUAAAUUUAAAAUUUGAUAUUUUAUAUUUUUAAAUUUAAAUUUGGUAUUAAAUUUAAAAUUUAAAAAUUAAAUUUUUAAAUUUUAAUUUCAAAUUUUAAAAUUUAAAAGUUAAAAAUUUAAAUUUUAAAUUUAAAAAUUCAAAUUCAAAUAUAAUAAGAAAGGUAAUACCAUUAUUUUCUAUUUAUAACUAUCAACUAUUCAUCUUAUUUCAUCUUAUCUAUCCAAACUCUAUUUUUCUUAUUUUCGGGAACAACCAAAUUUUAAUGCAAACACAAAAUUGGUCUAGUUCUCGCUUAUACCUAAACUUGUAUCUAUUCCUGAUAUAAGCUAAUUCUUAUUUAUACCCGAACCAAACGAAGCCUUAUGAUAUAGGUGCAAUAAUCCAAAUUUAUCUAUACAAAUUUAGUUUAUAUAUUUUAUAUAAUUUUUAUAAUUAUAAAUUUAUUAAAAUAAAUAAUUUGUAGAAAUUUUAAAGUUAAAGCGUUUAAAUCAAACAAAUUAAAAAAUAAAGUAAUAGUAAGUUAUGUAAUUUUUUAUUUUUAUUUUUUUGAGUCUUUUUCACACCACCCCACUAUUAGGUAGGUAAAUGGAUCUGGGUUGGUAGAGUUUCUUCUCUGAUUCUCUCCGAAAGGGACGAUAACGAAGAACAGAAAAAUAUAAAAAAAUAUAGAUUUUUUCAAAAUCUGUCCCGCUAAAAAAAAAUAAAGUAAAAAAUAGAAGAAUCCUUUUUCUUUUAAUCCACCGCUAUCCGCAAAAAAUCGUCAAAAAUAAGCUUCCAUUUAAAUCUACAUGCAAAUAAUUCGUCUCUAUUCAAAUCCGUUCCAAACGAAGUGAUAAUUGAGAGCUAAAACUAGAAUAAACAUAUAAGUUAAUUAUUUUUGGUUUGAUAAGAAACGGGGCAACGCUACUCGUUAUCCUUGUCUAGGGGUAGAACUGGGCCCGAGCCUAAACAAGGCCCGGUCCAAUGGGCCAUGUUUGGGCCGGGCUUUGGGUAUUGAAAAUACAACUUUGGGUUCGGGCCGGGUUUAAAAAUUUAGGCCCGAAAAAAUUUUGGGCCUAUUUGGGCGUGUCCAGCCCGACCCGAGCCCGACCCAAAAGCCCGAUAUAUUAUUAUCAAAAUAAAAUAUUUAAUUAUAUAUAUUAUUUAUCUAUAGUAUAUCAUAUAUAGUAUAUAUUGUUAAUAAUGAUAUGUACUUAUAUAUAUGAGGAUAUAUUAUAUAUUAACAAAAUAUUUAGUUCUAUAUUAUGAUAUAUUUGAUGUUAGAUAUUAAUUUCUUUGAUGUGAUAAAACUAAAAAUAGGUAUUUUAUUUUAAUUUUAUACAAAUAAAAGUAUUUAUGUAUUAUAUGAUAAAUGCAUAAAAUGGGCCUCCACAAAGCCCGAUGGGUAUUGGGCAUUGGGCUUAGGCUUGGGCCGGGCCUUAAUUUUUUAAAAAAAUUGGGUAAAAGCCUGACCCGAAGCCCAACAUUUUUUUGGGCCGGACUUGGGCAUAGUAAUACCCGACCCAAGCCCGGCCCAGUUCCACCCCUAUCCUUGUCCUUUCCCUUCACUCUUCCACGUUUCCGCAUGAGGGCAUUUUAGUCAUUUAAUAAAUAGCACGUAUUUACCAUAUAAUAUAUAUACAUAAUAUAUACACAACACACACACUCAUUCGCCCCAAAUCCAAUCCUAUCCCUCUUUCGCCCACUCCUCUCUCUCUCUCUCUCCCUCUCUCUCUCUGGGAGAGUGAGAGCGAGGAGGAUAAAAAAAUAAAAAUUCUAUCAAUAUAUUGUCUCCCUAUACGAGAUCAAAUAAGGCAAGGUUUUUAAUUUAUUUUUUAAAUUUUUUUUGCUCCUCUUGGGUUUUUUUUUUUUUUUUUUUCAACUGCUAUGAUAGACUCUAAUGUCAAAAGGUUCUCUCUCUGUUUUUUUCCUUAAUAUUUUUCACAUUUUCUUUUUAACACUUGUUUUUUUUUGUUUUUUGAGAGGAAUCUUUUUAAUACUUGUUGAUGGUUGGAUGGAAAUUUUUUCAUUUUAAUUAUGCUUCUGGGUUUUUCUUUAAUUAUAAAUCCAUUUUUUGUCUAAUGAAUAUCUAAUUGCUGAAACCGAUUCACAAAUAUUUGGCCGUUUUUGUCUAUUUAAUUUUUUUUGUAUAGUUUUCUUGAUGGAAAUUGAGUGAGGAGAGCAUUACUAUUGUUAUUAUUUCUUUUUUGUUGUUUACUAUUUGAUUAUAAUCUUAUAUGAUGUUUGUUUUUACUUGUUUUUUUUUUUUUCAAAUGCAAAUGUGAAUAAUGCUUUUUCUUUUUCUUUUUUUUGAAUAGGACAAUUUUUUACUGUUUCAAUUGAACUGAUUUGUGCAGUAAACCUGUUUAGGAGCAAUAUUUACCUCUUUGCCAUUGAAUGGAAAUGGACCAUUUGAUGAGUGUGAUGGAUCUUCCACCAGGUUCUAUUCAUUCUCUGUUUCAAACUAUUUUGGCAUUCCACCAAAUAAAUUAGACAAAUAUUUUACCUUCAUUUGAACUGGAUAUGUAGAUAUUUAUACAUGUUUUGCAAACAGGGUCCACGGUGUAUCAAAAGAAAUUAGUCGAAGAAAUGGAAGAACUCGGAAAAUUAAGGACGGAUUUGAUGAUAGCGAAAUGCCAAAUUAAGAAUGAAGUGAUCAUGUGUCCUAUACCAAGGAAACUUACCAGGUUUCUCUCUUUCAUAUAAGCUAUUCUGAUGAAAAUUUGAUGUUUUUGAUUGUGAAUCGAAUUAUCGAGUUGCAGUAGAACAAUACUUGAUUAUCGGUUUCAUUUCUUUCUUCUGGAUCAGUGAAUUUCCAUAUCUUUAUUUGAUUUUCUUAUUAAGGAAUUAGACAUUAUUUAGUCCCUUACCAACAUAUUCUUGUAGCUUACAUGUAGUUUGAGAUCAAAUGCACUGCAAUUUCACUUACUUUUUGUUGCAGUCGAAUUUGUUAGUUUUUUUUUUUUUUUCAUACUUGUGACUUCCUUUAUAUUUUGCAAAAUGCAGGUCGCGUAGAGAGCAUAAUGAAUUAAAGGCUAUAACAGAUCUUUCCGACAGCAUUGCAAGCAUGGUUUGUGACUAUACUGAUCACUAUUUGAAUUCAAAUGGUUUCAAGCACACUAUUAGCAAUUUUUCUAGCUAUUCUUAAUUUUCGGAGCACUUUGCUGUUCUUUAUGCUUCUUUUUAGCAUUUGAGCUUACCAAACUUUCUCCUUUUCACUUAAUGAACCCUAAAAUCAGAAUGUUAUAUGCUACAGGCUUCACCACCAUACUAUGCUGGAUCCCCUCCGAUUCGCGAAAGCAAUCCUCUUAUUCGCGAUUCACUAUUCAGAGAGCAAAUGGUGUAAAAGGCCUUACAAGUAUCAUCUCUUGAUACCCAAUUCUACCAAUUUUGACGACUUAAGGAGCGUCUUUUUUGUUCCGAAAUAAUCACCUUCAUUUCUCUGAUUUUAUCGGCAAAUUGUUGCGUAGUUUAUCUGUUCUAGAGAGCUCUUUAGCUUGGUUUUUGUUGCUUUUAAUCGUCUUCGCAUCGUGUACAUAUCUUCAUGGCAAGUUUUUAAAGACAAACUGUGAGUCGGUUUUCAUGAAUAAAUGUCUCCAGAGUCACUCUCAUGAAUUUAUACCUUCACAGGGUUUUAAGAGCUAUAUUGAUCGGUUUGGUUGUAACGCGUCAAUAGUUCCAUAUCGGAUGAGAAAAUGAUUCUAAUUAGAAUAUAUGAGGCCUCACACGCUGGUAAUAAUAAUUGGACUUAAACAUUUUGAGCCGGUGAUUUGGAGCCAACGAUUUAUUAUUGCUACCAGAUUUGGUAUCGGAGCUAAAUAUCUGUCGAAAGUGUGAAAGCUAAGUAUUAUGUAGCACAAAGUGCAACACCACAAGUUUGGUGAAAGCCACCUCUUGAACUCAUAAGAGCCACCUCUAGAAUCUCACAUCACCUGGUAAUUUGGUCUAUAUUUCUGAGGACAUUGGGGUCUAAGCGGGGGGCUUAAACCCAUAGGAGCCAUAUCUAUAAUCUCACAUCGCGAUAAUCUAGUCUAUAUGUCUGAGGACAUUGGGGUCUAAGCAGAAGGCUUGAACCCAUAAGAGCCAUCUCUAGAAUCUCACAUCGCUUAAUAUUCUGGUCUAUAUGUCUGAAGACAUUAGGGUCUAAACGGAAGAAGUUUAACAUCCCAAGUCCCACAUCAGAGGAAAAAAUAAUGAAUUGAAAUAUAAGACCACACACUCUAAUAAUAAUAACUGGACUUAAGUAUUUUGAGAUCCAAUGAAUUAUUAUUGCUAGCGGGUCGGAUCGUUACAUUAAUAGUACCCAUCUAAUCAAUACCCAUCUUUGUAUAUUUCGGUAAUAAAUAAAAAUAACUAUCCAAAACACUACAUUGUGAAGCUAUCAAUCUGCUUCUACUGCCACUCAUCAUCUAACAUACAUUUUAUCCGCUCUCUCUCUUUUGCUAUAAUCUUUCUUCUGAUAUGUAGUAUCAAAUUUUAAUGGUACGAUUUGCUUAGUGUAUGAAUUUCCUGGAAAGUUCCUUCUCUCCUUUGGAAGUGAGCGGAGCUCCGGCAACCAAUAUGCAACAUAUUCACCUUCAGGAUCAUAGGUUUUUGCCUACAAUGAAGCGAGUAGAUCACUAUAUUCUAUUUGUAUACUAAUCUCUAAAAUUUGCGUUAAGUAUGCUAUUCAGUAUGGGAAGCUUCUCUAAUAUUCAGUUCAGUGAUUCUAUUUUUCAUCUAGUAGUGUUGUUAAAAUGUUAUGUUUGUAACUUUAUCAGAAUACGAAUGUAAUGAGAUCAUACCUGCUUGGGGAUGCUGAAGUAGCGAUCUUCUCUUGGAUCGUUGCCGACUCCUAUACAGCAAAACAUAUACAUUUAGCUUUGCAAUGCUAAUUAUAAAAACUCUUGCUAGGUGACUUUACAGAGCUUGAUCUGAUGUGCUAACUAAAAAGAAAUUUAUUUGUUCUCGUGUUUUAUUUCUUUAAUUCCAGUGUACUAGUAGCUUUUUACAGAACAAAAAGGAGGGGAAAAAAGAGCUAACCUGCUCCAUAAGUCCAGUUACCGUAAUUGGAAGCUGGAUCAUAAUCUAAGAGACAUGUCUCAAACCAUUCCGCUCCCAUUCGCCAGUCGAUGCCCAUAUCUCGAACCAGAAACGAGCACACAAUCUGCGGAAACAAAUCAAAUUGGAAUUGGAAUGUUGCUGAUUUUCCUAAACAACUGAGUUCAAAUUAUAUUUUGCUUUGUGCCGGGGCACUGUUUGCUUCUCUUGAACUGCAACAGUGAGUUAUUAUUAUAAGAAGUCCGACAUUACCUGCCGUCCUCGGUUCGACAUGAAUCCAGUGGUUGACAGCUCUUUCAUGUUCGCGUCGAUGAUAGGGUAACUAACAUUGACCGAAAAAUGCAAAGCAUAUUACGAGGCUAUCUAUUUCGUUAAACUCUGAUACAACAUAUUUGGUUUUUUCCAAACUAAAAAAAUAGAUGGAAAAAUUAUUGGAACAUACCCAGUACGGCCAUCUCUCCAGGCCUCAAAGAGUGCCCGAUCCUGGCUCCAGUUGCUCACUAUUUUCCGAGGUCCGCCUACAUUGAAAAGGAAAAAGAUUAUCCACUUCGGCCAUCGAACUGUUCAUUCUAUUUCAUACUAAAUGGUUCCAUCUAAAUGGUUUAAAACGUUACAGACGCGAUGUUGUAUUAUAUCUGUUUGGAGUACUCAAAGCUUGAAAAGCCAUGAUGCGGUUGAAACUAAAAUAUAGAAGUUGUUAACAGAAUGAAACGACGAAGUUGUUAACAGAAUGAAACGAAUGUAGGAAACACAGUUUAAGAUGUUUAUCAUUGGAGAGGGCAAACUUAUUAGCCAAGAUGUCGAGGAAGCAAAUAUAAGCUACACAGUAAAGAAAAAAGACAUGAGACAAGUACUAACCUAGAUGGAAGAUGGAAUUUCCGUAUUUUAUUGAAAGAAAUCUGAAGUAGUCCCUCCAUAUGAGCUCAAACAAAACCCUGAAAAUAGAAAAAUAAAAGGAAAAGAAACUUCACGAUAUGAUUCCGUGCAGUGUCCAAGCAAGCGAACCAGCAAACUCGAAAAAUCUUGUAUAUCAAGUGAUUGUGGUGUAUGGGUAUAAGAUGACUUACCAGUAUGUUGAAUCAUUUGAUAUCCUCUGCUUCUCAUAUCUCUUAACCUAUUAAAUCACAAGUGUGCAUAAGCAAAAAAUUUCGUGGUGGGCAGUAUCAAAUCCAGCAGUUAUUAAGAUCGGUUUAACAUGAAACCUCUUCAUAAAUAUAACGUGGAGAGAGGCUGCCAGAAGCAAGCCACGAUGAGAAUUUCGUUGAAUAAUCUGGUCCUAACAUGCCAUUCCUUGUUUCCUUAUAGACCCUUAAUUUAUCCUGCGCGUAAACGAUCUUUUCUUAGAUCAUAACAACUACUCAAUCAGUUGAAUUUUUAUACUGUACAAGAUAAUAAGAAUAGAACCCACUAAGGGCCCAAAUUUGAUUUGUACUUUGCCCCUUGUGACACCCACUCUUUCCCUUUACAAAGUGCUAACACCGAUAAAAAAUUUCAUACUUUAUUACUGCAUAAUGUUUAUACUCACAAACAAAGAUACUUGACAUAGAAUUUAAUGAUAUGCGACAAAGCUGAGGAUUAUAAUUUACAUAGUGAGGGUGAAAAAAGAAAAAACAACUUUCUUGAAAAGCUACCUUCUUCCAGAAGUACUCAGUAACUCUCCCUAUAGCUGCAUUUUCACCUCCAACAAAACUCAUUCCUUUGUCACACUGCAUUUAGCAAAUGAAUAUAAAGAGUUAAAAGUUAAAACACGUGCGAGCGAACAGACGCACACAAAAUAAUCAAUAGAGAAUAAAUAAUGUUUAUCAUUUAGAAGCCACUCUUAUUCUUAGGUACUACUAGUCUCUUAAAAGAGCUACAACUUACAGUCUGAUGGUGUUAUGUAUUUAGUAAAUCAGGAAAGAAAAAAGAAAAAGAAAAAGAAAAAGAAAAAGAUAGAGCUAUAGCAAUGAAAGUGCAAAUCAUAUGAAGAGAGAUUUUCCAACAUAUUUGGCGGCUUUAUCAAUCUAGGAAUGCACAAAGAAGAAGAUAUACAAGGUGUCUAAGCAGCAAGAAAGAUUCAUUGACCUGCCUUUUUUUCUUCGAGUCCCAAUUGUUCGAGCGAAGGAAUGUCUCCCCACCCACCAAUCUCAUCUAAACUAGCGCUCGGAGGUGGCCCAAAUGACAAUGGCAACUUGCAGCAGCUCCUAGUUAAGCACUUAGACUCAACAGCCUGCAUAAAUGCAACGACAAAUAAAUGUCUCUGUUGCCAACAAAUGAAAUAGAAGAAAAAGAAAACUUGGAAUCUCAGACUAUACCUUGCGAAAUUGUGUAUAAACAUCUGGUAAGUCCCUUAUGCUGAAUGGAAGGUCAUCAAUGUGAUACAUAGUUGUUCCCCAAAUAAGUUGCAAUUUGGGAUUUAUCGGUUCCUGAUCAGGUGAUUGAGGUAACACUACUUGUUGCAAUCUUUUGAGAACACGAUGUUCAACGAGAAGUUCCUCACUGCAUGUUUCCUUAUGAGCAUAGACCUAAACCAAAUAGAAACAGAUCACUAAAAAAUUAACUAAGAAACACACUACCAGUGGCAUACAGGACUAUGCAGCCCNCCCCCCCCCCCAAAAAAAAAAAUCACGUUUUUCUUGAAAGAUUUUAUGAUCUUUAAUUAAGCCAUUUGCUCUGGUAGCGAAGACCAACAUUACACAGUGAAGGCACAAGAGGCAUGGGAAUGUGAAUAUUGAAACAUAAUACCGAAAAAAACACUAUAUGCGAAAAAUAAUGAGUUCAUCAGUGUAAAAUGUUGUAACUUUUCGUGCGUGCGUGUGUGUGUGUUUGGAUGUUUGGUGCAUGUGUGUGCGUGCGUGUGUGCGUGCGUGCGUGUGCGUGUGCGUGUGCGUGAGAGAGAGAGAGAGAGAGAGAGAGAGAGAGACUCACUGUGUGGACACCAAAAGCUUUUACGACUGAAGGAAGGAUAUCUUCGGGCUUCCCAUGUUUCACCAGCAAAUUUAGCCCUUUUUUGAUCAAAUUCUUUUUUAGAUCGGCAAGACACUCUAUCAAAAAUUGUGCCCUGAGAGCUGUUAAAAUAAAAUAAACAAUUAAUUAGCGAAGAAGGGGAAAUUAACACCAUACUCAACAAAUCAUAAAACAUAGCAUAACAUGAUUUUGCAUAUGACACUAUAUAUAUAUAUAUAUAUAUAGUUGAGCUGGAAUACUAUCGGUAGCAAACGGGCUCCGUUGCCACCAAUUUGUUUUCGAUGAUGGAGCCUCCAAAUCAACGAUCGGUACCGUUGAAAAUGAUCUAUACCACUUGAAGUAUCUAGAAAUCAAAUUUUAUGCUUUUCCGAUAUUGUUCUCUUGUUCAUCAAGUCGGCGUAAAAAUGAACGGCUGAAAAUGAAUAUCCUCUAAAAAGUGAUGAUAGGAAUUUUGUAAUCAAGAUCGAGAGUUAGAUCUUGUUCUAAAUAGUUUAAAAAAUUUUCUAACCAAAAUUCAAUUAAUUUGGAUAGUUUUACACCGUUAAACGAGAAAACGCCUCAUAUCAACCAUUAAAAUUACAAAUUUUGAAACCCUUUGAUCAUUAGGUUAAUGAUGUUGAAAAGAUUUGAAAUUUGAUUUCUAGAUGCUUCAAGUGAUAUAGAUCAUGUUCAACGUUGCCGAUCGUCGAUUUGAAGGCUCCAUCAUCGAAAACAAAUAGAUGGCAACGGAGCCCGUUUGCUACCGAUAGCAUUCCAGCUCAACUCUAUAUAUAUAUUCCCUCUCCUCUCUCCAAAGUGCCACAAACGUUGCUCAACAUUAUAAUUAGCUCCAUAAAAAGGGAACUAAGUAUAGACAAAUUAAAUCCACACAUUACCAGAACAGUUUAACCAUUUACUCUCCUCCCAGUAAUCUAAUCUUAACAAGCUACAAUAAGCACAUUAAUUAGCAUUUCCAUGAAAUCUACAAUAAUUUGGAGAACAAAAAAUCACAAAUUUUACUGCACAAUUCUAAGGAGAACACUACGAUCUAAUCCAUCGGCAUUUAAAAGAAAAUGAACAAUACAUCAAAAUCGAUCUCCAUACCUCCGGUUUUGGGGAAACCGAAGUAAUGAGUAGUCCCAAAGUUGCGAGGAUCCACACAAUACACAGGGAGUACCGAUUCCGACGUCGCCCACGCCCGAACCAACGCCUCGUUGUCGAGAACCCUAAGAUCGUUCCGGAACCACACGAUCGCCACCCCUUUCCCCGUCCUCUUCAGACUGGGAGAGGAGUACCUCCUAAACGCUUCAUCGGAGGCCAUUUCCGCCUCCUCGGAGCUUAAUCCAGGCACCAUAUAGCAUCGAACAGGGCGGAGGCGAUCGUUGGAAAGGGGAAUUGAGGACGAAGAGAGGCUCAUGGUGAGAUUGGAGCGGAAGAGGAAGCGAAUUGGGGUAGGAACUGGAGAGAAAAUUAGGGAUUUGAGUGGGGUGGAGUGGGGAGGGGAGAGAAGAUGAAGCAUUUGGAUUAGGGCUCGAGGGAGUUAGAAAUUUUUUUUUUUAAGUGACGUUCCUUGACGUUCCGUUAGGGGAGGGGAAACGCGAGGGGAAACGCGACGAUGUUUCGGAACGAGGAGAGGAGGAGGGAAGCGAGGGGAAGAGUGCCACGUGUACACGACGUAGAUUGAACACGUGGCGUUAAACUGGCCAAUGGUUGGAUGUGGGAUCCGUGGGCGAAUGAGAGCCGCGAAUUUAAAUGCGUGAUCCCAUGAGCAAUGAACACAAGACACCCGCGCAACUCGCGAAGUACUGCUACGUGUCGAUCCGUGAGUGGCCGAGGGCGAACCGGUGUCCUGGACCUGGUUCACUGCGUGAGCCCACAGCUAAGAGGUUUUUAAAAUCCAAGUAUAAACUAUGGAACAGUUUUUAAAAUUUAUCAUCCAAAACGUCAGAGUUAUCUCAAAAAUGAUUUUUUAAAAAGUAUUAGUGCUUGGUACACAAAUAAAUAAAUUUUCAAAAAAAUAUGAUGUUUUAAAUUGCACAAUUUUUGGGGUUGUGAGUCAAAACUAGUUGUUUCAGAUUUCAUUUUCAGACUCAAGAAGUAAUAAAACACUAUUUGGAUACCAAUCCAACAUGAACUUUGGAUAUCAUUUUGAGCAAAUUGUACAACAUUACUCACACAGAUCAAUAUCAUUUUUCAUGAAGUUCUUAGGCAACUACAAUCUUUUAAAAGAAAUAGCUGAAAAUAGCAAAAACACUAACACGGAAAAUCAAAUCGGAUAAUACCAACACUGAAAAUCAAAUCGACUCCAUUUGGAUCAAACCAACAGGCGCCUCUCGAGUUUCAAAUUAAAAAAUGAAUAUGCAACAGAUUAAAUUUGAACAAACUCUUCUGAUUUUCUAAUACAGAUAUUGUAAUUUAGAGGUUCUUCACAUUUUUCCUAGUAUGAUCUAUCCAUAAAUUUCUCAGUCAAAGAUCCAUCUAUAAGAUUUCAAGCUGAGUUUCAACUUUCCCCUGCUAUUCUUUCCCUACUGUUUGCUUCAUCUGCGCUCGCGACUCUCGAAAUCCAUUACGGCUAUACAACUUUAGCGUUGCAAAGUUUGCAUGCAAGGGCCUUCAGAUUUGUAUAGUAUCACAUCGUGCGCAUCCUGCAUGGAAUUUUGAAAAUCAGUGCUCCAAAAUUUGCAAAAUGCAUCGACUUACGACAGAAGAAAAUUUCUGACAGAAGCAGUUUUAAUCCUGGCAAAUAAACAAAUCUGGCAAGUGCUCUCAAAGAAACAAAUAUUUGAUGAGUACAAGCAGUGGUUUAAGGUGUCGAUGACAAAAUACAGUACCCGGAACAUCAUCAAGAAGAGAUAUGCUGCAACGGGCUCGUUUCUCUGAUUGAGAAGAUUCUAAUAGCUAAAAUAAGAAGUGUUAGUGGUGGUAUUUUUGCCCUUUAACAAUAGUCCACGCCCUGUAGAAACAUGCAGUAAAUGUUUGUAUUAAUCGAUUCUCAAUACAAUAUAAAUGGGAGCCGAAAUGUAUUUUAGUAAGGCGAGAUCACAUAAUUUGUAAGCAAAAAUAAGUUCAAUAAAGGAAAGCCCUUUACCUGUAAAGUUGCUCCACCAGGACUACUAACGCAACUUGGUGAUUCAAAACCAGUGAGGACAAUCUAAUUGCCGCGUCAGCACGCUCGCGCACUAGCGGCCCAUGACCGUAUGGGCCACCGAUACAAAAUGUGAGGCAUGACGAUCCCUAAAAGAUGAUGCUUCCUCAGUAUAAUUUGCACAGAAACGACAACAAAAGAAAAGCAAUAGCUAAUUCGGUAUUAGUCAUGCAUCUUUUCAGCGCUUUAUAAGUCACUAAACUAGCUUACCUUCUAAUAUGACAAAUAAGUAUCGAAAUCAUGUCGAGACAAAGCUUUAAGGAGAACAUGAAAGUCGCGAGGACUAAUGUUUUCAAAAAUAAUCAAAUCUUAUAAGCACUGAAUGAAUGGCAGGUCCAGCACAUACCGUUUUUCCCGCAUCUCCUAACAAAUCAGCCAUUUGCUCAGAAUUAAUCUCUCUUCCAUUCUCAUGUAACAUGACGACCUAAAAGCCAGAACAAAAAGGAAAGGAGGUAAUAAGCAGCCGAAAUCACGGAAUUAGCGAGCAAUGUGUUUAGCACAACAAAAAUUUGGAAGCUGAGAAACUCAACAUAUAUUUUGAAUUAUUGUAAUCGCAUACUUUGCAACAUUUACAGUAACAUUUUAGUUGAUAUCUGGUUUACAAAAUUUACGAUGAAAUGAAGAAAGAAUGUGAAUAUACUGAUUACUACAUGUAGCUUUUCGUUGAUUGGCGUAAACAUCUGCGCAAACUAAAGACGAGAAAAGUGGAAAAAGGAGAAAAGGAGGCGAUGCACCCGUCGAAAUGACAAGUUUCCGUAAUACCAUACCCAAUCUUCAGGUUUGAUGUGUUGCAUCAUAGCCGCGUCCUCUGCUUCAAUCUGGGCCUUCAUGUCGCUGCUCAACAUAUGAAAGCAUCAACUAGGAAUUUCGAGCAGAGAUCGAAUUUCUACAAGAAAAGGCUAUUUACAUGUUGGUUGAUGCAACCGAUAGAAUACUCGGGCAACAAAUACGUCGAAGAAAAAAGAAAAGGAGCAAACAAAAAUCGAUUACAGGGACACAGUAUCAACUAAUUACUAGAACCAAGGUUUCUACGCAUUCGAUCUUGAUGUGUUUCGUAAGAAUAAUCACAAAAAUAUUCUCACAUCAUCAAAAUUUAGACUAAAAUUUAGGAUAAAAUUCAAUUCACCGUACAAUAAUUUAGCGCAUUUUCGCUUUAUUAUUCUGCAGUUCAAAGGUUGCAUUUAACUACCCUGCGAUUUACCGCAUUUUCACUUUGUAGUUCAAAAAAUAUCUCGUAAUUUUAUUUUUAUUUCACCGUAAAGACCUAUCAUAAAAUAGGAUACAACCCUAUGGUUUUCAAAAAAUAUUUUACUUCGAACCGCAUAGUCGUAAAGUGAAAAAGCACAAAACCAUAGGGUUGUUUACCCAAAAUUUGAUCCAUCUCAACAUUCACAUCUCAGCUAUAAAUAAACAUUGUAAAACUAAACACUAAGCAAUUUAAAUAAGAAGAGAAUAAAAUUGUCCAAAUUUGGUAAUUUAGAUUACAAAAUAAUAAUAUGUAUUUACCUUGUGGUUUUUGGAUUAGAUUUAAUAAGAACAUCCUCAACGCCACAGUAGUACUUGAGCUUCUCCUUGUACUCUUCAACAAUAAGUUGGAUCCCUUGAGACCUCUUCUUUCCAACGGUUAAUAUACGUAUAGGUAUUGCUCUCUAUAAAAAAUGGGUAUAUAAUUAAUUACACCAUUUUUACAUAGUAAAGUAGCUCCUUCGAUGUAUUAUUACUUAAUUAUGUUACAUAAAAUAACAGAUUAUUACUUUUCUAACCCAGCGUUUUCCCAAAUUCGUGCUUAAUAAAUUCCCCAAGCCGUAUAUAUAAUAGAGAGCAUUUAUUUUUGGUCCUCGAAAUUGGACCCAAAUUUACUUGAAACCCUUAAUAGAGAGAUUGAGGAGUUUAAUUACUGUAAUAAUUAUGCCGUGUAGAGAUUAGAAAGAAAAGAGGAAAUUUUGGGGGUCUUACGAUGGAUUGUCCCGAGUAUUUGGAUCUCCUCCUACUAGCUGAAAAAUAAAAAAUAAAAAAUAAAAAACAUUUUGGAAAAAAUGGGGCUAGGGAUUCAAUGCGAAGAAGAAAUAUAUAUAGAGAGGGGAAAUACGGUGCAGAUUGAUUACCUGGGGAUGGAUUUGCUUUGAGAUUCGUGCUGUUCUUCGGAGGAGAGAGAUGGGUGUUGCUGUAGUAGCGACAGUAGAGCUCCAUGAGAGAGAGAGAGAGAGAGAGAGAGAGAGAGAGAGUGCGAGGGUUUUGAUUUUUUUUUUUUUAAUUAAUGAACGGGUGAAGUAGGAGCAGGUUGGGAUAUGAAUGGACGCGGACACCCAAAAUUUUAUCCAAACUUAAAUUUCAGAUGAGCAAAUUUACCUGAUUCUAAAUAAAUAUAAUGUGAAACACAGAUAAAAAAAAUUAAAGUUUGAUAAAUUUAAAUUUAGAUAUGAAUUUUGUCUAUAACAGAUCCGAACCUGGACCGAACAUAAAUUAAUUUUACAUUAUAUAAUACAUAAAUAUUUGAUGUUAUAUUUAAAUUUUUUUAAAAAAUUUAAACUUUAAUAUAAUAUUUUGAAAUAUGAUAAAGAGAGAUAAGUCUUUGAAACACUCAAUAAGUUAUAUAUGCCCCAGAAAAUAAUUAGAAAAUACUAGUAAUGUACCCGCGCUUUGCUGCGGGUAAGAUGAAUAUAUUUUUAAUUAUAUUUUUAAAAUAUAGGAUAUAUAUAUAUAUAUAUAUAUAUAUAUAUAUAUAUAUAUAUAUAUAUAUAUAGAAUUAGACUGGAAUACUAUUAAAAUAUCUUUAUAUUAACAAAUAUAAAAUUUAAAUAUAUAUAUAUAUAUAUAUAUAUUAAAAUAAAGUAAUAUUUUUUAAAAAUUACAGUGCACUGGGAUGGCCUACGGUGCACCGGGUGUAUCGAGUCAUUGAGUCGGACACGUGUCAAGUAAAGAACAAUGCUCCACGGACUUUAGUAUAUAGUAAUAGAUAGAUAGAUGGCAUAGCUAGGAAUGGCAGUUAGAGGAAGGUGAAUUAAAACAGUCCCGCACUCCUAAAUUUUAACUUCAUGGCUCUUGGCUCUUCUUAAUCUAAUGUUACCACAGCAGCGCUAAUAUACAAUUUUUUUUUCCGAUAGUUUUUAGUGCAAAUGGCAAAAAAUUUAAUAAUUGAUACGUGAAAUUUCAAAUUUAAAGCCUGAUUAUUUUAUAUUUUUCGGCAAAAUUUAUUUCUUAAAAAAAUAAACGAAGCGUAUAGUAUAUUACCUUUCUCAAAAAAAAAAAAAAAUUCUAAAAAAACAAAAAGUGUUUUACAAGGAGGAUAAUUUUUUUCAGGUGGUUGCAACUCUCUUUUUAUUCUUCUCCUAAUACAAGGAGGAUAAUUUUCUCAGGUGCAGUGACCACUCACCACAAGAUGUGCCUAUGGCAAUGGAUCCAAUUUGACUGACUUGCAGCUUGACUAUUUAGAUCUCAACCUUGCAGCAAGUUUCUGAUAAAGCUGUAUUAUUGUCUGUCUUACAGAAAUUGUCAGUUAGCUAGCAUUAGCUCUUUUGACUGUGUUAGAUAUGUCUCGAAUUCUAGAAUCAUAAGAUUUUCUAACUCUAUUCUGUUUUGAUUAUCCCAUUAAGUUAAAUUUAUAUUAUGCAUAAUCUAAUUAAGGUAUUCAUAUUCCUAAGGUAUUCAUAUUCUUAAUGAAUUUGUAUUUCUAAUCGUAUUAGAAUUUAAUUAGUCGCUAUUAUAAAUAUACCAUUUAUGAUUUGGUGCAGUAGAUUAGGCAGAUGAGAAAGAGUAUGGGUGUAUUUUUGGAAUUAGAGUUUUCUGAAAGAGUCAUAUUUUGUACACCAUCCUGAUUAUAAUGAAGAUUUCCGCUUCGCUCUAUCUUCACUCGUUGACGUAUGUUUGUGGCCGAGCCAUGUAAAUAUUGCGUGGUUUAUCUUUUUUUUCUCUCGUUCUCGAUUCUUUUUUGGUACUUUCGCACUCGACGAACUAGAUUUUUUUUGUUUCAAUUCUAACAUAACGUCACAAGCUCCAUCCACUUUGUAAUCUAACUAAAUCUCGAAUUAAAGCCGUCCAGAUCAGCACAGUCGCUAUAGUCGUGAAUAGUUAAAUAUGUUGGAUUGUUGACGCUAAUCAGUAAUUCCAAAAACUCGAACUAUUAGAAAUAUGCAAUAAACUCACUUAAAUCGUACAGACACAACACCCACGAGUCUCAAUAAUUAUUAUUUAUUCUAUAAGAAUCGAAUUUUAAUUUUCACUCCACUCUAGAAUAAAAAUGAUCCAAUCUAUUUAUGACUCAAUCUAGCUGCUUUGAGUUACGAAUUAAUUAAUCUAUUUCAAAAUAAACCUCUCAAAGCUUCAUUUCACAGACACCUUUUUCUCCCGUCCCUUCGUCACUCUCCUCUCUUUCAAAAUACUAAAUGUUCAUUUCCAUUUUGCAUUUCAGUAAUAAUCCAAAUAUUUUUAAACUAUUCGUCAUUCUAUAUUUUAUUCCAAUAUAAUAUUAUUUUAUUUUUUAUUUUUUAUUUUAAUUAUGAACCAAACACGUCCUUAUCAUAAGUAUCUUUCUGAGUAGCGCUUGGCCACAAAGAGCCCUCUACUUUAUAAACUAAGCUCCGUGUCAAAUUAAGGCGUUGAUGGGAACCUUUGACCGACACUUGGUUAAAUAGAUUCAUCACCAAUUGGAAUCCAUCCAUUUAGGCGGUAUACAAAACCAAGUUGAAUUCGAUAAAUCGAAUCGAACUUUUCUCCACAUAGAUUGCGGUGCAUCCAUAAUAUCCUACAACUAAAAAAAUAAAUGUAAAUUUUACGCCCUUUUAUUUAUUUAAAUUUAUUUUUUAUAUUAGUUCUAUUAUAUAUAUUUUUUAACUAAAAAUUUAUUUAAAUAUAAUAUCCAAAUUCUAGAAUGAGAGUAUUUAAAUAUUCACUUUUUUUUUAAGAUAUAUACAGAUAUCACUCCACUAAUCAAGAUUAAAAUAUGAUGGGACAGCCAAAGUAGGACAAACUACUUAUAAAUUUUCAAUUGGAUACGCGAGCAUACAUUUACGUGUUUGGUCUUAAUAGUAGGAUUUUUUUGCAUAUAACUUUCUCAAAAAAAAUUUAUAAAUAAUUGUAAUAAAUUUAUAUUUACAUAAACAUUUCUUUUCCUAUCACUUGAAUGCGCAGAUGACGUUUUUAAAUUGAAUACGGUGAUUCAAUUAAAAUAUUAGAGCACAGUGAUUGAAUCACCUAUAUUUUUUUUGUAUUUUUAUCACUCCUAAGUUAAAAAAAUAUUAGAGUGUGAAUAUGAAUGUGGUGAUUCAUUUAUCGUGUUUAAAUAUGGCAAUCUCGUAAUCGUGUUCAACUUAAAAAAUAUCGAAGCUUUCAUAAUAAAAAGAGAAUUAUGUAUGUAAAUAUAAAUUUACUAAAUAUAUUUAUAAAAAAAAAAUUGAAGUAGAUAAAUACACUCAAUAGUUAGCAUUGAACAUUUCAAAACACAAAAUUUAACCUUGCUGAAUUUAUUCAAAAAAUAAUAAAUAUAUAGGUAACCCGUCACCUUUCUCUCUAAAAAAAAUACUUUUUAAAGCAAAGUACAUAUCAUGCGCAAAACAAGCUGAACCCGAUGUGCUCCCGUAUAACGUCCCAAUAAUUUCAUAUUAAAUAAAAAAAAUUAAUUUAAAAUAUCUAUUUUAUAAUAAUAAUUUAAUUUAAAUAUUUUAAGUUAGUAAUUUGAACCAAUAAAUUAUUUUUACUAGCUAUUUUAAUAAUCUUAUAUCAAAUGAAAAAAUAUAUAUAUAUAUAAUCAAUCACUCACCCAUUUCCUCCACAUCUCCUCUCUCUCUCUCUCUCUCUCUCUCUCUGAGCUAGAAGCGAAAAUAAAAUAAAAUAAAAUAAAAAAAUGGCGAAGUACUUCACGCUAAACACCGGGGCGAAGAUCCCUUCCAUCGGCCUGGGCACCUACAGCGCCGCCCCCAACGUCGUCGGAGACGCCGUUAUCACCGCCGUUAAGGUUCUUCCUAAUUUAAAUUUUUUAAAAAAUUGUAUUAAACUCGUCCUUUUUUAUCUCUCAUAUCUCUAUGAAUUCUCGAUUCGAUUCUCCGAGGCUUCGAUUGAUUUUAUACCUUUCGCCUGAUUCGUUUGCAUGUGUGCUUUAAUUUGGAAGAAAUUAAUCUAAAUCCACAGAUCAAUAUGUAGUGUUGGAAAAAUCUCGCUAUUCUUAUAGUAAAAAUAAAUCUUGUAAAUAUUUUGAUUUGAAACCUCUAAAUAACUCUUUUAUAUAUAACAACGAAUACAAAACUCAACAAUAAUAUAUAUAUAUAUAUAUAUAGAGUCCGGCUAUGGUACUUGUAGAAGUACCAAGCACUUGGUGCUUGUAAAUAUUUUAUCCUUAGAUCUAUGUUUUUGAUCAUUUUUAUCCAUUAAAUUGUACUAUUCAACCAACCACCCACUCAACCCUAGGGAGCCCACAUUAUCCUAACCGCACAUCCUUUAAUCCAAGGGCUGAAAACUUACAAGCACUAAUGACUUGGUACUUUUAAAAGUAUAGGAGCUCAAUUCUAUAUAUAUAUAUAUAUAUCUAUAUAUAUAUAUAUAGAGUGAGGUUACUAUGCUAUCGGAAGCACGGAGCCUUUCGUGCUUCCAGCUCGUUUUCGAUGUUGCGACUUUCGAAUCGUCGAUCGGUUCCGUUAAACUUGAUCUAGAGUAUUUGAAGUAUCUAGAAAAUAAAUUUUAUGAUUUUACGAUAUCAUUUGCCUAGUGAACGAAGGGGUUCAAAAUCAACGGCUGAAAAUAAAAAUCUUAUAAAAUGUAAUAAUAUGACAUUAAAAUUUUAAAUCAAAGAUAUUGAUCUUGUUUUAUAUAGUAUAAAGAAUUUUCUAUCAAAAUUUCACGUGAUUUGGAUAUUUCUACACCGUUAAACUUGCAAACGGCUUACUACGGCCAUUGAAAUUUGUUGAUUUUGAGCCCAUUUGAUCACUAGGCAAAUGAUAUCGAAAAAUAAUAAAAUUUAUUUUCUAGGUACUCCAAAUACUCUAGAUCAAGUUUAACGGAGCCGAUCGACGAUUCGAAAGUCGCAACAUCGAAAACGAGCUGGAAGCACGGAAGGCUCCGUGCUUCCGAUAGCAUAGUAGCCUCACUCUAUAUAUAUAUAUAUAUAUGUGUGAAGAUAAAAAGUUUAGAUAUAGUAUGUGGGUCGAGAUGUGCUAUAUAUUAUCCUAAAAAUAAGAUUGCCUCUUCACGUGUGAGACUCCAGUAAUUAUUUCUAACAAUACAAUGACGACGAGUUAUCCGUCGGCCCGUCUCCAAGGUAGUGGAGAAGCUCAAGUGAAGGUGAAUCGAACCGGGUAGCUAAGACUGCACGCCGCUGCUGCUGCCCCAUGCCCGCCCGACCAUGCCUGGCUUGUGCCGUGCGUACGUGCAUGUGUUUAAUAGAUGGCACCACUCUGAUCAUUAUCACCCAACCAACUAGUUUGAAUGUAAUGGAGUAUACAAGGCGCUACUACUAAUGUCUUGAAUUUUUCAUUAUUUGGAACUAAAUUCAUAUAUAAUAAAUUAUGCACGGACUCUCAGGUACAGCUUUGUUUAAUUUGGUCUACCCAUGAGACCCAUAGGCUAAAAUAAAGUUUUAACUCACACUUUUAAAAUAAAUACCAACAAAAAUAGAAACACGCACUAGCGGUGGACAUUAUUUGUUUCAAUUCUCUUUUUCCCUUUUUUUUAAAGCGAAUAUUCGAGAUUCUACUUUUGUCUCCAUUCUUUUGAUUAUAUUAUUUGGAGCUGUUAAAAUAUUGAUUCUGCGAUCUAUUGCAAAUGUCAAAUAAAUAUGAAUGCCCAUCUCAGCGCCUUAGGUUUAUUUUUCAAUUCAUGAGCUGUAGGAAAUAGGAUUGAGAUUUGGAGCCUAAAAGCAGAAGCUACAAUUUACAUGUUGAGAUUCUCCCUAGAGAGAGAAGUUGUUGCGGGGAUCUUAAUAAAAUGCUUUUUCAAAUAGCAGUACGUAAGAGCACGUUAUUAAACAGUAUUAUACAAAAGUACUUACUUGGACCGGUCCACCCGACUAACUUUGUACUUUUGCACCGACCGUCCCUAGAGCAAGUGGCAAAGAACUUGGUGGUUGUUAUCCGAGACCCAAGUUCGAAUCUUAGUUGAUUCAGAUUUUUAACUAAGUUUAUUUCUAAAUGAAAUAAACGAAGCGGGUAGCGUGCUACCUAUCUCUCAAAAAAAAAAAAAAAAAGUUUGUACGUUUGCUUUCACACCUGCAGUCACUUUUAGCACAACAUUCCCAGAGUCUCUAUUAAGAAAUAGAAAUAAAAUUUUAGGCCUCAAUAUAGUAGCUUGAAACUUUUGAUUCAGCUCUAGAGAGAAACUGUUGGGAUCUUCAUCCUUGCGAUGUAGCUUUUAGGUUUUCCUCUCUUCUUAUCACAUAAUAAGAAUGCAAUGUAUCAAUGCUAUUGUCUCACAAUGAAAUCUUGUUAUUUGGAUUUUCUUUGUGGUGCCGAAAUUCUUAUUUAUCUCUGUAUAAAUGCAGGCUGGUUACCGACAUAUAGAUUGUGCCCGACUAUACAAGAAUGAGAAAGAGGUAAUUGUGGUUAUCGCGCUUUCAUUGAUACUGAUGCUUUUUUCCUUUGGAUUGUAACACCAUUUAUUGCAAUAGAAUUGCCGAUAUACUAUUGUAUAUUUGUUAUGUUAGGUAUGAUUAUGGAAUUUGGAAAUUUUCAAGAACCAGGAUUCAGGAAUUUAAAGAAAAAUCUGCACGAUCUUUGUUACUUUCAGCAUAUUUGUUGUCUAAAACAGGUCUAAGUUUAUCUCUGCCACUUCUGAUCUUAAAGCUGCAGCUUUUGCUUCCGCAAAGAAGUUAAGAGAAUUCGCGUUUAAAACAAUCGGAGAGAUCAGAUAGCCAACAAUAAACAUGUUUAUGCAGUGGGAUUCAUUUCAAGUAUCAGCUUGUUUUCUUAAGUGUACCUAGCCUUUUAUUUUAGUUCCAGUUCUUAAAUCUUACUAUAAACUAGUUUCACUAACCGCGGUACAACUAAAAUCUCCACUGCUGUAAUGAACUUUCCGUAUUCAUAGAUUGGCGACGCUCUAAAGAGCCUGUUUGAUGAUGGUGUAAUCAAGCGUGAAGAUCUGUUUAUCACCUCGAAACUUUGGUAGGUUUCUUUUCUUGGUUUAACAGACUAAAUAGUGUAGCACUUUCAUUCAUGUUUAAGAAAAACUAACUUUUCAGUUUUGCCGCUCUUUUUACUAAACAUUUUCUUAAAAGAAUGAACAUCUUAUUUUGCAGGUGCAGCGAUCUUGCCCCAGAAGAUGUACCGGAUGCAUUGGAUGCAACUUUAGCGGAUUUACAGCUCGACUAUAUAGAUCUUUAUCUUGUAAGUUUGUAUCCAUGGUUACAGCUCUGCUGAGUGCUAUUUCUUUGAGUCUGGUUGCGUAUCUGUUUGCGUUAAAUGAACCGGUUGCGUAUUUCUAUCAGCUCGAGUUUUUGGAAUUAAUGGUUAGCACCAACGAUCCAACAAUGUGAAGGAAUAACCAUGAUAGUUGUUUUAUCUUUUAUUACCAUGGGAGUUGUGAAUGCUAUUUUAGAAUCAAUGACUCUGCAAUAGUCGUAGCAACUUGGUAGCUUCAUUCUAACAUGUCAUUCCUAAUGUAAUGUGUGAGGAUUGUUAAUAUUAAGCUUUUCAGAAUAAUGGAAUUUAGAACUAGUACUUUCUUAAGGAGGCUUACACUGGAAAAAGAUGCAUAUAUGAUCUAAAAUUCUACUCCACUCUAAUCAGCAUUCAGCACUUGAAAAACAUUCUCCUCUCGAGAUGUACGCAUCAACAUUUUCUCUACUAUUUUAGAGAGAUCGCUGCGCUUUCCUCGCAGUUUCGUUCUUACUAAUCAUUCUGUUAUGUGUCAAAGAUUCACUGGCCUUUUCGGAUGAAGAAGGGAACUAGUGAUUUUAUCCCCGAAAACUUUCUCGAGCUCGAUAUGCGCGCCACGUGGACGGCAAUGGAAGAACUAUACGAUUCCGGUAAAGCUCAUGCGAUCGGAGUGAGUAAUUUUUCUUCCAAGAAAUUGGGGGAUUUGCUUUCCACAGCACGCGUGCCUCCCGCCGUGAAUCAAGUGGAGUGCCACCCUUACUGGCAACAAGCUAAGCUCAGAUCAUUUUGCCAAUCGCAGGGUGUUCAUAUCUCUGUGAGUGUUUUCAUAUACUCAUUUGGCUUAUUCCAGUGAUCUUUUUUUUGGUUAUUAUUUAAAAAUUGGUGGAUAUCCACUUUAGCCACAGAUUUUGUAGUAUCAAGUAACCGACCACUAUAAGACUUCGCGAUUCAUAAGUUUUGAGUGGUGAACUUAUAGACUUGAGUGAUAGAUGCAUUGUUCAAAGGUACUCUACUUUAGUUCCUAACAGUGCGCCGAUCAUUCAAAAAUUGUGCUUGGUAGUCCUAUAGUGGAAGGGCAAUUUAUGGUUCAAAAUUAGCAUAUUUUCUCUUUUGUUCUUGAUUGUCAAUUUAUUUUCCGACGGUCGUUCCUACAGGCAUAUAGACCAUUAGGUCAACCAGGGUCGACGCAGAAAACCAAAAUCUUAACAAACCCCAUCCUACAAACAGCAGCAGAGAGUCUGGGCAAAACUCCCGCGCAAAUAGCUCUUCGCUGGGGCCUUCAGAUGGGUCAAAGUGUGCUUCCCAAGAGCACAAACGAGUCGAGGAUGAAGGAGAAUUUGGAUCUGUUUGAUUGGUCGAUUCCUGAAGACUUGCUUGCCGAGAUCAGUGAAAUCGAACAGGCAAGUCGCAGCAUUGUUUUUGCGCAACAAUCUGAAUGAUCUGAACAUUUAUGUUUUAAGCUAGGAUGAGUGAUUUUAAGUUUUCAAGUAACGAAAAUAGAUAACUGCAGCUGUGCAUUUCUAUACUUGUUCAUUUUUUAGAAUGAACAGAGAAAAAUGCAGUAGUGGAGACCUUUUAUCACGAGUUUUGAAAAUUUAUCGUGAUAUCGGAAUAGAGUGGAAGUAAAGUCCUAUGUUUUAUGGUUAUUUUCAAUUACAUUUUAGCGGUAUAUUUGUUACUAUACCAUGUAGUAUUGUUGGUUUCUCAUCCACUUGCCAAAGUACCCCUUUUUUUUGCUUCCCACUAUGCACUACGAUUUAAACAGAUAGAAAAUAGGAGUCAGGAGUAUUAUGACAUUUGCAUUAUCAAAUAUUAGUAUAUUAUGUGUCAUGAAAACAAACUUUUUAAUUACAGCAAAUUUCGGUUUUGGAUGGUUUGUAUAAGUUCAUUUGACUGUGAUCUGCAGGUUAAGCUAGUUCGGGGAGAUUGGUUUAUCCACCCUCAGAGCAUUUACAAAAGUGUCGAGGAGCUCUGGGAUGGCGAAAUCUAAGCACUUAGAUGAAUUGUUUUUAGUUAAAGUAAAAUAUUAAUGUGUGUUGCGUUUUUCAUAAAGGAGUACCACUUCUCCCUUUUCGGACGAUUGUUGUUUCUCACAGUUACCAUGUACACUUCCUUGUUGGUUUUAAUUGAAUUUAUAUGCAAUAUGUAUCAACUUUCUCAUAUAUUUCAUGUGUUUAAGUGAGUUGCAUGAUCCAGACACGUUUUUUAUGAUGAUCAAGUGUUGUAUAUGAGAUCUUAAAUUUUCGUCUACUUUUACAAGUUGCUUUAAAGUUCUCAGAACAUGCAUAUCUUGUUUCCCUCAGAACAUAACACUGUUUUGACUUCUCAGAACUGACCUACUCUCUCGGGAAUGGCCGUGUAGUAAGGUUUUGGAGUGAUAUCUGGUUAGACCAACCCCCCCUGAGCACUCUCUUCCCAUGAGUAUACGACAAGGUGGUAAACAAGAAUCUCCGGGUUUCUGACUGCUGGGGUAGGAAUGGAUGGAGGUGGCGUAAAAUUUUGGCAGGGUUUAAUCCUACCUCUCUUGUCGAAUUGGAUUCGAUUAGAAUCCUUAAAGAGCUGCUCUCGGAGACGUCGAUCUACAAUGGACCGGACAAGGCCGUUUGGAGAUGGACACGGUCUGAUAAAUUUACGGUCAAAUCUCUUUAUAUCUUCCUGCAAGACGGGGGGCCCACAAUAGCUUUUUCGUCCAACUGUGGAAGAUUAAAGUACCCUUGAAAGUUAAGAUUUUUGUGUGGCUUGUGCUACUCAAAAAGAUAUUCACAGUGGACAACCUACGUAAGAGGGGCUGGGGUGGUUACGAAAGGUGUGUUUUCUGCCUCGAGGCUAGUGAGACGGUGGACCACCUUUUCUCGGAGUGCUAUAGUACUAAGACGCUGUUAAGUAGGUUUCUACCAAACAAGCAGUUCAUCUCUAACUGUACGUCAGUUAAUCUACUCUGGGAGGAUAGUAGGCGUAAAGAAGGUACCUUAGGAUUUAGGGAACUUGCUUCUAUCGCCGCGACGUGGUGGACGGUCUGGUUGGAACGAAACAAAAGAAUUUUUGAGAAUUCUAGACGCCCUAUUUCCCACCUAGCGUUUGAAUCCCGCUCACUCAGAGAUAUGUGGGCUCUUGUUCUCUAGUUUUUUUUUUUUUUUUUUUUUUUUUUUUUUUUUUUUUUUUUUUUUUUUUUUUUUUUUUUCAAGGCCCAUUUGCCUCAGUUUGCAGCUCAAUUCACUUUCUGAUUGAAUGAAGUGGUAGCAUGCUACCUUUUCUCAAAAAAAAGAACUAAAAAACUAAUUCAAUAAAGAACAUGAUAAUGUAGGAGGAUCAAAUCAUGAAAUAAAUAGACAUAUAAUAAAAUCUCUUCCUUUUUAUUGUCAAAGCAAGUCCUUAUAAAAACUGGAGAGAUGAAAUGAAUGGCACAAUAAUACAUAUAAAGGCCCAUUUCAUUAGCCCAAGUAAUCCUCUUACUACCUUAAAACAAACUUUACAAAAAAGCAUCAACUUAAGCCCACAAAAGCCCAUGGAUAUUAGGCCGAGUUUACUUUGGGCUGGGCCCAUAUUUUAGAAAAUCCCCCGGGCGCGUACCACGUACUACUAGACCUUUUUUUUAAAUUUUUUUUUUCCAUAUUGUUUUAGUAAUAUAUUGCUUUAAAAAGGAUCCUUACGUGGAGAAUUGAAAAUGAGCUACAUAACAACAAAAAUAAAUUAUACGCCGUAUUUUUUAUACGAAUUUUCCGUCGAAAUCAAAGAGGAUUCGGAUUUUGAGUUUUUGGCCUGAUGCAAUUUUGGAUAUGAAUUUUCAAAAUCCGCCAAAUUCGGGAUCAGGUUCUAAGUUCGGAUUUCAGAUUCGAAUUUUCAAGUCAGUCCCGAAUCCGACCCGUCGAAAUCUCUAGUAGCAAGGAUUCUGACAGGGCGGGUCCGUGGGCACAAAGACGUGUCUUUUUUUUUUUUCGACAAAUAGGAACUAAUUUGAGGCGGAUUGAUUUUUAUUUUAUUUUUUAUUUUCACUUAUUACUCCAAACUAAUUGGAGUAAAUUUUUUUUGACAGAUCAGGAAGGGCCAAGAAAAAAAAGAUGUCCGCACCCCUCGCUCCAUCUUUUUAGCGAAUUGGAACAGAUUUGAAAAAAAAAUUUCUAAAUUUUGACCCCCACUUACUGCCCCAUUCGACACGGAUCUGGCAAAGUAAAUCCAAGAAUACAACUCAGGAUAAUAUAAUAUGGUAUAAUAACCCACACUAUCAUUGAAAGGCUAACUCAAAAUAUUGUGAUAUACCCAACUGCAAAAGAGGUGAAUCUAUAGAUUCUAUACAGAUGACAAGAAACAGAACAAAAAAGAAAAAAUAAAAAUGUAACUGUUCAUCAUUUCACAAUGUUAAGAAAGGAAAAUUGGAUUAGAUUAUAUUAGGUUAAUAGACUAACAAAAAUUGCUGUUCACUAGAGCAGCACUAGAACACUAAAAAGAACCAAGAAAAAAAAAAAGAGAAAAAAAGAAAAAAAAAACUGGAUAAUACAGGAAUAAAUCAUGUUGAGAGGGCAUAUAGUGUGCCAUUAAAAUAGACAGACACCUCAGCCCUGAAUGAGGGCUCAGAAUUCUGAGCCUUCCAAAUUGCCGCAGCAACCCUUCUCCUGUUUCCAGAGCCAGAUUCCCCGGUUCACGCCUGAUGAUUUAUGAAAAUUAAAAAGAAAAAAAUAAUUACGAAGGGGAGGCACUCGACGAAAGAAUCGAGUGGACUAAUUCAAAUAGUUGUGUAGUUGGAGAAUAAGUUCAUCAGGUUGUCCAGAGCUUCAGGAUAGAAUUUCCGCGCAAAUAGAUAACAUGGUCUCUUCAUCCCAUUCCACAAGCAGGGUUUCCGCAUCACCACUUUCUGCAACAAAAACCAGAAAAAAAAAAAAAAAAGAGCCAGUUCUUCAAUAUAUAUUUAAAGUAUUUCAUGGUUACAACCAAAAAAAUUAUAAAUAUAAUGUAUGAUACCAACUGAACAUAGCAUAAAUGGUAACACAAAUAUCACUGCUGGUCUGUUUGAGGAAAAUUCUCAGAAGCAGCAGCAAAUUUGAUAAUUUUUGGACUAUGCUUAUGUAACGUAACGUCCUAUUACUAGGCUUUGUACUGAUAUGUGUGAAGAGGCAUUGAUGUUUUAUACCCAAUUAUCUUAUUAGAUUUGUAAACUAGUAGAUGGUUCGAUCACCGCAUCCAAUAAAAAGGGUAGAAGAAACUGUUCCACUUGAUAUAUCAUGGAAUGUGAACAUUAAGGAUCAGUUUGGAUGUUGAAACAAGUUAUCCUGUAAUAAUAACUUGUGCAAUGUGCGGAUAUAUUUGUGAUCGCACCACUUAAAAUAAACGAGGCCUUUAUGGCAAUGAGAAACAUAACCAUUACUUAAGUAAGAGCAUAGAGAUCAAUACGAGCAGAAAGGAAUUGCUAUGCAUACCUUUUCAUCGCUUGUAACAUGAAAACUCUCAUCAAUAGACUGCCGCAACACAAAAUCAGAAACUCCAAGUUAAAACCACAUAAAAUGGAGAAUACAACAAAUAUAGAGAGUAGCGGAGAGGUAAACAUACUGUUAUAUUCUUCAGGAGCUCAAAAGUGACAUCCUUAGCCCGAUAUGCCUUUGGAUGCCACUUUCCUUCUGACCAAUCAACAUGUGUCACUGACCAAUUGGCAAUUCCAGUUGGAUCAAUCAUCUGCACGUUUAAGUUCAUUAAAUUAGCAAGCGAAUUAAAGAAAGAAAUAGCAUAUAAAAGGGUCUGAAAGGUUUUAAUUUGCUUACAUAAAAUAGGGUUGGCAAAUAAUGCUCAUCAGCAUAGCAAUUGCGUCGUCCCUCCAUCCCUGGCUGUGAAUAAACAGAAGAAAAGCAAUAUCACCACAUGUUUUUGUAAUAGUAACCCCCAUUGACGAUUUCAAAACAGUUCAGCUUCUUCUAGCCAAAAAAUAGAGUUGUUCUACUUUUGUCUGGCAAAAACAACAUUACGGUCCAGCAAUCAUUCUUUUACAGUUAUACAACAUAUUUAAGCUUGUCGCUUUUACACUACCUUUGGUAUUUAAGUUAGGUUCUUUAAGAUUGUGCGAAGGAAUUGAAAGAUAUACAGCUGUACAAUUACCUUGCAAUAAAGCUUGAACUUUGUGUAGUAAAGACUGUCUGCCAGAAUCACCAAAGCAUGUUGCCGCUUGAUUGAGAACCACUGCAAUAUACAGACUCAAAAAUGUUUGAUACUAUCUUUUCUCAAAUUGCAAAAACAAGAGUCUGUCAAACAAUGGAGGCUCCUACUUAAGCAAAAUGACACUUAAUCUCUUUCGAAAAGUAAAGCCUCGAACAUUUAGUAUGGACUAAUUGUUGACAUAACCAAAGUGCCUGUUUAUGGCCUCCUCGUAUGGCCUUGCUGUUACCAUAUUUACUAUGGCUUCAUUGUUAACAUGAACCGACAACAAAUUGAUGCAAGGUAUUGGAAAAGGCAAACCUUAUUCUGAUUGUUAACAUAAGCCAAAAACAUCACCAAUUAUAAUUAGUCACUAGCUUAUGAACAGAAGCUAACACUUUUUUGCCUUCCUCAUAAAAACACCGUCAGUCAUUUUAUGCAUUUUGUAAGAAAAAAGUUACCUGUGCUCCCUUUCUAAAGUCGUCCUCCUCAAUCUCAGGUAGCAUGUGCUUAGAAUACCUGCCAUUGCCAUGUGGGCCAGGAUCCUGAAAACUGACAAUGAAGGCAGAUAACAUUAACAAGAUGAAACAAGGAAAUUUUCUUAAACAAUCAGUGAAAUUUUCUUAUCAGAUAGACAGCAACAGGUAGCAAUCUGUUACACCAAGAAGAUUCUCCUGAGAGUGUCAUCAUGGCUUCACAUCGGUCUUUUUGGUUUGAUAAGUGAUGCCUAAGAUUGUACCUUAAAUGGAACUAAAAAUAGAUUCGGCAGUAUAGUGUCUUACCAGUCAAUAAAGCUGAUAUUGGUUCCCAUCAGAUAAUUAUAUACAUAAUCGAAAUUAUGAAGCGGAACACAGCUGCCAUACAAACACAUUGGUAUUUAGUACACUAAUGCAAAGAAUCAAAAGAAAUUUCAAAAUACAGCAGAGUUGCUCAGUACCUGUCAGAAAGCAACACAAAAUGCUGGUUAUCACUGUCCUGGAGCGCAUUCGCCAGGAGUCUCUUUUCUGCAUCAACCAUCGAUACCUUCCCCCAUACCACCUGUAUAAAUAAACUUUUGAGUUCCAAAUAUAGUUUCGAAGAAGUAACAAGUGGAUAAAACUAGUCAAGCAGUAUAAAAAUUAUUGAGAAUAACAGGUAGCAAAUUUGCUAGGGAACUAACUAUCACAGAUUGACUAGCACAUUUCAUGUCUAUCCAUACAUAAGAAUAGGUUAGUCUAUCUAGCAGUACCUCUUAUGCACAAAUAGAAACAAGGGAAACCUCUGGGCAUAUAGAAAAAUGUGAAAUUAGAUAAAAAUCAAUAAGGAUAAAAGAAAGGUCACUCCUAAAGGGCCUCUGAUGUUACGGUAGUUUUGACAGGGUUCAUUCCUGAAGCCCCUCCACAAUAAAUUGCUGUUCUUCAACAUAAUUUUUUUCAACUAUAAUCAUUUAUAGUACAGGCUUAGAUACCACGAUCAGUAUAUGGACUGACAUACAACAACAGUUAAAAGAACAUACAAAAUAGAUAUCAAGUCGAUCUAAAAAAAAAAAAAAAUUGCAGGGUCAAACAUCAUCACAUAAGUUGUUAUGCCCACUCAUCAUAUAACUAACUUUCCCUAUUAUAUAACACAAUUAAAAAAAAUACUUUGUGAAUAUUGAUAAUGACUUAAAUCAGUCCAAUUACUGGUUAUGAUAAGUAACACAUUUCCAUGUUCAUCUCCUUCAUAUAUUAUGUUGAUAAAAAAGUCGAUCCUUCAUUCACAUGCGCAGGAAAAAAAAAUAGUGAGAUAUCUAAGAGAGACAGUACCUUCUCACUGCGAAUUUCUCGAUCACUAAAUAGAGGACUAACAUGUACAGGCUUUUCCCUUGACGCAUGAAUAUAAAUGGAGUAUCUUCCCUGAUGUCCCUAUAAAUACAAGUAGUAAACAUGUCAACAUACAGAAGUUUUACCUCACAAGAAAAGGCUUUAGUAAAACAUUGGCAGUACCAAUUUACCCACCUUCCCACAAAAUAUAGCAGCGUUGUUGCCAAGAGUGAUCAAAUUUUUUGUUAAAGAAAUUUCCUUUUUAACAUUAUCUUUUUAUGAUUAUUUUUGUUUGUGAAAGGGUUAAUUUGUAAGCAUAAUAAAGGUCUACAAUAAAGUUUGAAUAAAUAAAUAAAGAUGACAUAUUUUCACUCUUAGCUCACUUUUACCAACAACUAAGCCAUUAUAUAUCCACUUUAUACCCCGUCUGAAACAUAAUAUCACUGUUGACCCACUUUGGUACUAUUCAAUGUUCACCAUCUUUUCCUUAAUGGAACAAGUUGUUUUAGUCCUCAACAACUGAAGAUACAUGGCCUUUUUUUUUUUUUGAGAUAAAGGUAGCAUGCUACUGCUUCAUUCAUAGGGUAGGUGAAUUUAGCAUCGAUGGGAAACAACUGGGCUUCGGAAAAAAAAAAAAAAAAACAAAAUCCACUUAGCUAAACGCAAUAAGAGUCCCACAUGUUGUACAGAUCUCGUAGGUCUGCCAUCACCUGUCUCGCAGUGCACUUAAGAUACGUGGCCUUUGGAAGCAAAGAUCAUGUACUUUCAACAAAACUCUAUUUCUUCUCCGAAUAUGGGUACACUGUUCGGAAAGAGACUCCUGAAAGUCUACAAGCUGUUGCAGGGUUCUAGGCAAUACUCAAAUGCCUUAAAAAAUUCUUUCUAUCAUCUAAGCCAACAUUCAUACAUUGACAAACAAGUAACAAGUUCAAAUUUGAACCUUACCUGAAAAAAUUUCGCCCACAAUCUCUCAAACGGCAAUGUACCAGGAGUCAAGAACAUGAAAGCAAUUUUAGGAUUCUUCGACUGAACUGUAGGCAUAGCAAUAAGGUCACUAAAGACGACACGAGAAGCAAUCUCGCCAUCUGUUAGUACCCGCAAACGCUUAGCAGGAAGCCAAUCCUUGAAAGGACUGCAAACACUUGAAGCGAAGAAGUAGCAAGCAGAGUAACGCCGAGGUGGGUACACAUAAGCCCCAAUCAAUGUUACGCAGACCAAAGAAAUUAAGACGAUUAUCCACGUGGGUCGUCUAGAAGCAGCCCUGUGGCGGGGAGCCGGCAUGAUCGUCAUGUCCCUAAUGGCGAGUUCCCAUGUUUACGGUAUUUUCAUCUCAUACUUUUCUUUGCAAAAACCUCACCACCAUCAGCCACCAUUACUCUCUCCUUACUAUCAGCUUUAACGAUCAUCCACGAUGAGGUUAGACAACAACGAACAUUGCAAAGAGUGAAAAAUGCUAUGCUCUGAGUGUGAUUUCGCUGCAACAGCAAAAAAAAAAGAUAUAAUCCACACAGUUACAUACCAAAAAAGCAAAAAUUUGUCUUUUUCUUAAGCUAUGAUGGAAAAAAAGCCAAACCGAGAGAAUAAACCACAAUAAUAAGUAAUACUACAUUGUACUUCAAAAAAACAUUAGUAUGAGAACAAGGCUAAGCCCGUAGACAAAUCAUUAUAUUGUUCCAUCUACAAGCAAAAAUAUUUCAUUUUGGAAUACAAUGGAUCAGCAUUUCCUUUCAAAUAACUAGCUAUCCCUAAUGGAUUUUCUUCUUCGAAAUCCACAAAAGCUAUAUAAGCUUUCUCCAAUUACCAACUCAACUCCAUUUGCGAGAUUUUUUAGCUACAGAACCUCAAAUUACACAUCAAACCCCAUAAGAAUAGAAGAUUUAAUCACCAACACAAACAGAACAACAAGCAUCAACGAUUCCUGCGCUUUCCAGAGAGGAAAAAUUAGGAGGAAGAAAAAAAUAAUCACCAAAAACUAUAUAAAUUGUACUCUAAACAGAUCAAAUACGCACUUAAUCGCAUCAAAACAGGAAUCAAAUGCGAACUAAAAGGAGAUCGAUCGAUUACCUGUACGAAGUGAGCCGUAGAGUAGCUCGAAGAUCGGGGAUCUGCGAUGAAGACGAAGAGAGAGAGAGAGAGAGAGAGAGAGAGAGAGAGAGAGAGAGGUGAGUGAGAUCCGUUAGGGUAGGAGGGAAAGGGGAGACGUUGAUAAAAUAUGUACAAAUGGAGGGGAUUUUUGUGUAAAAAAGGAGAGAGAGAGAGAGAGAGAGAGAGAAGGGGAAUUGGAAGAGGUUAUGCUGUAGAGAGAGAAUAUUAGGGAAAAAAAAAAGAGAAGGAAAUAGUAAAAUGUAUGGAUUGUCGCUGUACAGUAUUAGUGUUAUGGUUGAGUACCUGUACUGUACAUAUAUUUGUCUUUUAGUUGUUAUGUACGUCAAAAGAAGUGUAACUAGUUUAUUUAUUUAUUUAUAAAAUGGCUCACUUAUUAUCCCUUUUACAAUAAAAAUUAGAAAAACUUCAAAUACCGUAUCUAUAAUUUUGCACUUUUUUAUUUUAGUACUCUGUGAUUGGUAUCAAUUUAGUACCAUGUGAUUUUAUUUUUUUCGUUAAAUCAGUGACAAAGUUAAAACUAAAGGAUACUAAAAUGAAUAUUCGAUAAAUCUAGAUGGAUUAUCUAGAGUUUUUUGUAUAUAAUUUAACGAAAUAUUAACGGAGGAGCUGACGAAAAGAGAAAAAUAAAAUCACAUGGUACUAACUUAUAUAUUUUAAAUCAGAGGAUACUAAAAUGAGAAAGUUCAAAACCAUGGAGUUGAUAUUUGAAGUUUAUCCUAAAAAUUAUAAAUUUUUUAAGAUAGUCCGAAUUGGAGGCUAAACUGUGAUAUAUAUAUAUAUAUAUAUAUAUAUAUAUAUAUAUAUAUAUAUAUGGAGUAGGGCUAGAAUACUUUUACAAGUAUCACCCAAGUGAUACUUGUGUGUUUUUAGCCCUUGGAUGGAGAGAUGUGAGGUUGAGAUGAUGGUGGUAGGUGGUGGUAGGUGGAAUAGUGUUUGAUCCAAAGGCUAUUUGUAUUCAAAAAGUAGAUCCAAUGGCUAAAAACGUGAUAGCAACAUGGGGAUGAUACUUGUAAAAGUAUCCUAGAUCAACUCUAUAUGUAUAUAUAUAUAAAAUUGAGGGACUGCUUGGUGAAAAGUAUAGGAUUGAAUUGUAAUAUUGAUAUUGUACAGGGUAUGCGCACACUCUUUAGUUUUUAGAGGCGUAUUAAUGCUAGGUAUUUUUAGCGCGCUCCCUCCGUUUCUUUCAUCUCCCUCUACAAUGCUCGUAUAGGAAUUAUCGGGUGGACCGAGUGUGCCACAUCAUCAUAACUGCAGUGUUAAAGAGCGUGGUACCGGGAUAUAAUACUUGAGUCCUUCCGUUGCUGAAGCUCUUCAUUUACCCAGUCUAGGAAACACGGUGCACGGAAAAUUAUUUAUUUAUUGUAUAUUUCAUGCUGUUGGGAUCAGUAGUUGCAAAAACUAUUUUUUUAAAAAAAAAAAUACGAAAACAAAAUAUUCACCUGUGAAAAAUAGGGUGGAACUGAGCAGAACUGAAUUAUGACCAAUUUUAAUUCAGUUAAUUAGAUUUGAGAAUUUUAAUUUUACUAAAUUUUUCUAAUUUAUUUGAUUUAAAAGGUAAGCUAGUGAAAUUAUUUUUAAGAAAAGAUUAGAUAACUAAAUCAGAAAUAGGAUAUUAUUUAGAUAAAUUUUAUACAUUUUCACCUUCCCUAAAUGUAUUAUAACAUGUUGCCAUCAAAAUAACCUCCUUAUCUUAAGCUCAUUAUUUUUAUUUUAUAUCCAUUAAAUGCCUAAAAAUAUAAUGUUUGGCAUUAUCUUAAUAAUUUAGUCAUUAUAUUUAGCCAUAAUGGAUAGGAAGCAUAUUAUAAUANUAUAUAUAUAUAUAUAUAUAUAUAUAUGAGUAGGGUUAUUAUAUUUUUGGGAAAACUUCAAAACACCCCCCUGUGGUUUCUAACUUUCUCACUUUAGUACCCUGUGGUUUAAAGUGUAUCAAUUUACUCCCCUGUGAUUUUAUUUUUAUCUUUUCCAUAGCUUUUCUCUUAAUAUUUCGUUAAAUUAUAUACAAAAAAACAUCAAAUAUCCAUCUAGAUUUACCGAAUAUUUACUUUAGUACCCUUUAAUUUUAAUUUUGUCACUGAUUUAAGGAAAAAAAAUAAUAAAAUUGAUAAAAAAAGAGAAAAACGAAACUAUAGGGGGGCAAGUUGAUACACUCUAAACAACAGGAUACUAAAGUGAGAAAAUGCGAAACCACGGGGGGGUUUCUGAAGUUAUCCCUAUAUUUUUAUGAGUAUAGAGUAUAUGAGUAUAGAGUCCUUCGUACUCAUAAGUUGUUUUUUAUGAUCCACAUCGUUAAACAUGAUCUAGAAUAUUUGAAAUUUAUAGAAAAUAAAUUUCGUAACUUUUCGAAAUCAUAAUAAAGUCCAUCAAGCGGGUAUAAAAUGAAUGAUUAAAAUCGAAUGACGUUCUAAAAAUAGAUGAUCGGAUCCUUUAAUUUAAGACCGGAGUCAUUAAUCUUUAUUUAGAUGGUGAAUAAAAUUUUCUAUUAANAUAUAUAUAUAUAGAAUUAUGCUACUAUACUAUUAAUAGUACUAAGCCUUUGGUACUCUUGAGUUUUGGGCCGUUGGAUAAAAGGAUGCGCGGUUAGGAUGAUAGUGGUCUCCGGUUAAAUUGAUAGUGGUCCCCUAGGGUUGAGUGGAUGGUUGGUUUAAUAGUAUAAUCUAACGGGUGGAAAUGAUCAAAGGGUAGAUCUAACGGUAGAAAACUCAAUAGUAUCAAGGGCUUAGUACUAUCGAUAGUAUAGUAGCCGGACUCUAUAUAUAAUUUGAAUGCUCUAAAUAAUAUUUAGCCGUAUGGAUUAUCGAUUCGAAAGUUCUAUUAUCAAAAUCGACUUAUGAGUAUGAAGAGAAUCGUACUUAUAAAAGUAUAUGAACCGGACUCUAUUUUACAGCCACUGAUAGAUGCCACUCAUCAGCAAACAGGACCCUUAGGCAAAUCUGAUUUGGUAUUAAUGUUUAAUAAUAAUAAUAAUAAUAAUAAUAAUAAUAAUAAUAAUAAUAGCCCUCUUAGCUGCCUAGUUUUAAUUAACGGUAUUCUCAGCCUUUAAAUUUAAUUAAAUUGCGAUUAGCCCAUACGUUAGAAUGUUGAGAGAGAGAGAGAGAGAGAGUGAAAGAACGUUCUAGGGAUUUGUGGCACGUGUCUUUCCAGAAAUGUCCUUGGCCAGAAAUGUCCUUGGCAAACAUUUUGCAAGUGGCAACAUUCUCAUAGGAAUGCAAUUUGGGUGGGGAUCCAUUUCUUUAGCGGGUCGGAGCUUAUCCCAACGGAUUAACUUUUAUUAUAAUUUUUGAUCAGAAAAGAGCGUAAAAAGGAUAAAAAGGAAGAGCACAUCGAAAACAAAAGAUAACAUCCUAUAAUUACUCGCAAGUAACACAGAAAAAGCUCUUCCUGUGGUGGCGUUUCUCUUUCACUCAUAGAAAGGGUUAAAAAGAGACAUAACCCAUUAGCCCAUUACUAACUGUCGCCCUAACCUUUCAAGAUAAUGACACAAAGCUUAUAAAAGAAAAAAAAAAAAAGAAAAAAAAGAAAAGAAAAGAAUUGUACCAUACUAGUUAGGUGUAGUUCUUCAAAGUUUGAAGCUAAAUAUUUAAUUUUCCAAAAACGUCUAGUUCGUCGCUUUAAUCCUAAUCACCUAGUUAGAAAAAAGAAAAAAAAAAAAAAAGUGCAUACGUACAUUAGCGCACCAUAAACCGAUUGACCAAUCGAUUGACCCGCAACCAAUCUUUUACUUGGUGAUCUAAUUUUUAAAUCGAGAAAAUAUGGCAACUCAACAACAAAGGGAUUGAAAUAUGAGAUGGGAGAAGUGACAAAUAGACAAACACAAUGAUACACCGGGCGCAGGCAAAUGAAUUUCCCCAAAAGUUUGAAUAUAAGUACCGAAUUUGAAAGUUUGAAAAUGAAGCGAAACGGUUUAUAGUUCAACAGUGCAAUUUUUUCAAAUAUAAAUAUGAAUCUAUUUAUGCUGCGGUUUUUUAAGAACCAACUGUGCAAAAGCAGUGCAUAGAUCAGAAAUUAAAUAAAAUGGAUCUUACACAGAAACAAGGGAGUAAACAAACAAUUGUUGGUUUCAGAUAUAGCAAAAGAGUUGCCGCUACAAAGGUAUGGAGCGCGGUGUUUGAUUAAUUAACAAUGCGCGUCCACCUCUUAUUGCAAGAUGGAAUAUAUAAAUCACAACCUAGUCAUCCGAAAUACUACACGAAAAACACGGAGGCCGAUAUAUCAAACAAUCGAAUGUUCAAAGGCAUUCAAAACUUCUAAAAACACACAGACCGCGCUGUGGUGUAAAACAUACGGGCAUGAUGAGAUUUGGAAGACAACAAAAAUGGGCAUUUGUGUUUUCACCUGGUAGGUGUACUGCCUAUUUACCGCAUUUCAUCCUCGAGGUUGCGGAAUGCAACGGUGAGGUCGUCGUAUAGUUUCUUGAACUUCGCAACCAAAGCCUCCUCGCCUUCUGCAGGGUCUUCGAAUUUCUGGGACCUGUAAAGGUGAAGAACAUGCACUCAAGCUUCAAGGAAUUGAUUUCAAAACCCAAGAAAAAAGAGCAAGCAAGCAUUUCGGGCCAAUCAUUAGACUCAAUUUUUCACCCUCUGCAACCAAAUUCAACUAUCUUAAGUUUCGUUAACUAAGAAAAUUAUACGAAGACCCUCGUACUAUUUGUCUAUUUCCUCAAAAUUUAGGUGGAUCCCAGAAUAAUAAGGUUUAAAGUUCUACUUAGGGAUAAAUCAGACAUGAAUAUGGGCCAUUGUUGACUUACACUAGACGGUAGAAAAGGUCACCCAACCGGUGUUUGAUGACACUGUAUGUUAUUUUCUGGCCAUCAGGACCUGCUGCCCGCUCCACCGCCUACAAAUGAAUCAAAAAUAGGGAAAAAAAUUCAUUGUUCUUAUGUGAAACAGGAAUCCAAAUAAGAAAACCAUAAUCCAAGAAUUUACCUGAUUUGCCAGAGUGUGGAAAUGGAUAAUGUUGCGCAUCAUCCAUACAGAUUUGUAGAAUGGGCAAAAUUUAUCGUAUCUGUUACAAUUGUUGAAGGUUUUAAGUUGAAAUUGACAAAAGCUCCACAUAUAACAGCAAGAAAUUAGUUAUGAUGAGUAACACUUACGGAGUAAAAGCAUUUUGUGCCAAGUAAUCCUCUCUAAGAAGCUUUGCAGUCUCCAGGGUAACUUUAUCAGUUUCCGCCAAUGCAUCUUUACCGACAAGCUGAGGUCAAAAUAAUAGUUCAAAAACCCCACUGAGUUUGCAUUAUACAAACUAAAAGAUAACAAACCAUAUUAAGGUUUAAAUCCGCACAAUUAUAACUUAAUUACACUACAUUAAUCAAAACUUACUGAUGGUACCAUGUGAAGAUAAAUUUAGAAAAAGGGAAAAACAGAUCAAAGGUUUGCAAUGAGUUCGGUAAGUGGGAAAAAGACAGCAGAUUCCAUACACUGGGAAAAGAUAUGAUAAAGAGUGCUGCACAACAUGAUGGGUUAUUCGAAAAUACGAAAUUUCCGUUCAAUCAUUGGAAAAUAUGAACUUUUCAUUUAUAAACUUAAAAACUAAAUGUUCAUAAAAGAAACGAGGAUUGAAAUUUAAAGGAUUUUGAAGAGAACAAAUAAAGUACAAUGCCAAAAAAAAUUACCUGGACAAUUUCAUUUAGAUCAUCUUCUCUUUGCAACACUUCACGAGCUUUUGUUCUAAUUUCAAUAAAAUCCGGAUCAAAUUUCUCAUAGAAUGAUUCCAGGGCCUACAGAGCAGUAAAUCAUUGAGUUACUUGAAUGAAUUCCACAGAAAAGAAAAAUUGCCAGUAAUAAACCCAGAAAAAAAGUACUUAUAACAUAAAUCUUAGGCAUCACAUCAGUUAUAAAAAAACAAAACAAAACAAGCAAUAAUGCAGUGUCCAUGUUAGUGCAUGUUCUUCCCACGAAUCAAACUGAUCAAAGCUCUCAAACUUGGAGAGUAAAGACAGCUCGACAUAGCAGUAACCUCAAUACACAACACCAAAUCAACAACAUAAAACUGGAUUUCCAAGUGCCAUUUAGUGAUCCAAAUUAAGAUAUGAUAUGAAACAUAAAAGAAGUAAUAAACUAUUUCCACAUUGAAUUGGAGUUCAAAAGAAAAGCAUAAAGGAAACCUUUGAGUAUUUUGAGUAAGAAAUAAGCCAAUUCACUGAUGGGAAAUGUUUCCUCUGAGCGAGUUUCUUAUCCAGCCCCCAGAAGACCUGCAAACAAGUUACUAGGGCAAGGGUUUAUCCAGCAGUUGGUUAUCAAUAAAGGAUACCAGUAUUAGUAACAGAAAUUAUCAUUAAGGUUCCUUUACCUGCACUAUACCAAGAGUUGCAGAAGUUACAGGAUCUGAAAAAUCACCUCCAGGAGGAGAAACAGCACCGACAAUGGUCACGCUGCCGGUUCUGUCCGGAGUGCCAAGACAUUUCACUUUGCCAGCACGUUCAUAGAACGACGCUAAACGGGCAGCCAAAUAUGCAGGAUAACCACUAUCUGCUGGCAUUUCAGCCUGAAGAGAUCACAUUUUUAUCAUUAAAUUUCAUAUUGCAACCAUUUAGAAAUUAGACAAUUUCUAUGUUUCACAAGAUUUUCAGGAGAGAGUGCCAUUUUGUUGCACAAGGCUUGGAUGAUGAUGAUGACUACUUUAUUUCAAGAUUAUAAAGUUGAAAAUGGAAAGGGAUAGACCAGGAAAUCUGUUUAAUUAUAAACGUCUCUCAGUGAGUGAGCCUAGUAAUUAUGAUCUUGAAUAUAAGUUAAUUUCUUUUAAUUGAUAGCCUUGCAAAAACACCAAGUACAUGGAUUUACAAAAUAUUCAUAAGACUAAUUUGUCUAUGCAAUAAACUUCCACUAUGUGAUAUCCUAAUGACCUAUCAUAUUUUCCUUCAUUAAGUAUUUAAUCGUAUUUUCUAUCUUGAUGAUGUAUUCAGCAAUUUCCGGGGCUUGGUACUCAGCUAAACUGCAUGUAUAGAUCAAUGAAGUUAUAAGAGAAUACUCAAAGUGAGACAAGAAUAUGACGGCCCAAGACGACAUUGUCAAGUAAUUUCAAAUAAUUUGGAGAAAAAAAGCAUUAGAAGUUGUAAAUGUUACUUAGGAAACAGAAGACUGAAAAGAGUAGAGUUCGUACCAGUCGUCCAGAAAUUUCACGUAAAGCUUCAGCCCAACGAGAGGUGGAGUCAGCCAUCAUACUAACAUUGUAGCCCAUAUCACGGAAGUAUUCAGCAAUUGUAAUGCCUGAAAACAUUUAAAUAACUAAUUUAAGAAAUGGAGUUUAAUUUAAAACUGGCACUUUUCCAAAAGGUGACAAUAAUUCGUACCUGUAUAUAUAGAGGCCUCACGAGCAGCCACAGGCAUGUUGGAAGUGUUAGCCACCAGUGUAGUUCGCUUCAUGACAGACUCCUCACGCCCAUCAGGUAAAGUCAUUGUCAAUUGGGGGAAGUCCAUGAGGACCUGGACAAAGUUUGAUGCAGAUUAUUACAUAUCAAAAGAUAAAGAGGAAUAAGCAAACAGAAAACUGAAGCAAACCUCAGCCAUCUCAUUUCCUCUCUCUCCACAGCCCACGUAUACAACAGUGUCUGAGUUAGAAUACUGUAGAAGGCGAUAAGCAUAAGUAGAAGAUAAAAGGCAACAGCAGCAGCCAGAAGACAACAUGAAAAGAAGAGGACAAUUUGUUGGUCAGUAAAAUAGUUACCUUUGAAAGCGCCUGACUAAUGACAGUCUUCCCACAACCAAAAGCUCCAGGAAUAGCACAAGUUCCUCCCAGAACAGAUGGGAAGAGGGCAUCAAGAACCCGCUGAAAAUAGUUUGAACACUUGAGUAUUGAAACCAUAAUGGACCAAAAAGAAAAGGAUAUUCUAUUCCAAUAUUUCUUUAUUAAUAAUUACCUGUCCUGUUAAAAGGGGUGUAUCGGCAGCAAGCUUUGCAGCUACAGGCCUUGGUGUACGUACAGGCCAUGUCUGCAAAAGAAGCAAGACAAUUUCAGAAUUAUGCAUCAAAAGGAAUUUGCACUUAAGAGAUAAGAAUACAACUCGUUAUAAACCUGAAGCAUAGUAAACUGUUUUUUGACACCUUGAAAUUCCAAUUCAAGUACAGUAUCCUGCACAUAAGGCAACAGAAAGGAUAUAGAAUUCGAAUAAGAGGAAGAAGUUCAAACCAUAUAAAGUGAAGAGAACUUAAGUUCAAAUUAUAAGUCCUUACAGACCUUGAGGGCAUAUUGACCAGCUGGUGCAACAUAAGUUAUUUUCCCCAUCGAUCCCGGAGGAAGUGUAACAUAGUGUUUCAUCAACGUAUUCUCAUAGACAGUCUGUUAACAUAAUGAAUGAAUACAGUCAGCUAUCUAGAGAUGAGAUAUAAUUUUAGGAGAUUCUCUACAAUAUUUUGCAACAACAUUCAUCAGCCAUUAUACAACAAUUGAAUGUAGCAAUAUAACUUACCGCAUAUAAAUCUCCACCAGUGAGAAGGUCUCCAACAGCUGAAAUAACCAUAAACAUCAAACUCUCAAAUUUAAGAAAGCAGAUUCAAUCAAAGUUUCAAAGUUAAGAAAUCAGAUUCAAAGAAUAAAAUCAGGAAUUUUGGAUCAUUGGUGUUCAAAUUAUUUGAUUUCCUUACCUAGCUUUUUUGGCUCAAAUUCCCACAAAAUAUCUUUGUCAAGGGCAGGCACUGAAACUCCACGAGGGAUGUAGACAUCACCAGACUUCAAAGCAAUAGUUUUUAAUGGGCGCUGCAUUGGAAAGAUCAAAGAAACAUCCUGGUCAGAAUAAUAUAGUCUCAAAUUCCGAAAGGUCAAGUAGAUGAACCAUCAAAAAUAAAGAAAGCACAAUUAUACAAAGUUUAAUACAUGAAAUUGUCCCUGAAGUAAAGUGAAAAAUAAUUACAACAAUAUAUAAUGAAGAAAACAAGCUUUUGUAAGCAUCACACAAAAUAUUAACAAACCUGAAUCCCAUCAAAAAUGUUGCCCAAAAUCCCAGGUCCCAACUCCACUGACAGAGGCUGCAGAGGGAAAAACCAUUGUGUAAAGGGAACCUACAUAAUUGGUAUGCAAUGUUUCAUGUACUUAAAAACAAUACUUUAUGAUAUACCUUUCGAGUUCUUAAAACAGGAUCAUUAACCGUCAAGCCAGCAGUUUCUUCAUACACUGAAAUUCAAGAGCAACAAUAUGUACCAUGAAUUCCAAAUUCUUUUGUACUAAGCCAGAAGGAAACAAGCAGUAAAAAGUGGAAUAAUGGCAUGGACUCGAGUAAUCUUUCAGGGUAUGAUAAAUAAGUUUCUCAUUGUUUACCCUGAAUAGUAGCUGAAUCUCCCUCAAGACGAAUAAUCUCUCCAAUAAGAUUAUCAUGACCGACACGAACAAGUUCAUACAUGGCAGCACCUCCCAUUCCAUCUGCCACGACGACUGGCCCAGAAACCUGAAAGUUUCCAGGAAAGUAAAAGGUCAAACAACUAAUUCAUUCCAGCGCAGUUAUCAAAGAAUAACACAAGUUGCAAUUAGAAAAUGAAGAAAAUCACAUAUCUAGUUAAAGCCCCAAUUCAGGAGUCAAAGAUGUAUUCGUCGCAGAACAUAAUCGCAUCUAAGUUGCUGCUAAAGAAGUAGAAACUAAAAAGACAAUAAAGGAUGAAGGUGGCAAUUAUACAAAAGUGGUGCUGUACAAGGACAAUGGCAGUAAGCAAACAAAAUAUGCAACUGAAUGAAGCCCCACAGAAUAACACUUUGCAGCUUAUAACAGAAAAGUGCAUUAGGUUCACUAUGUGCUAAAAACUGAGCUAACUUUAAGUAAGAGAAUCCUAAAUUUUGGGAGACCUGCUCUGCUCUCUAGAGCCAUGUCCACAUUUCUGAGUAGGGCAAGCACAUUUGCUUCCCACUUGCUUCUAUUGAAAAUGAUCCACAAUGAAGAAUUUUUUUUAUAAAUAAUCCUAUCAAUUUUUAUAAUUGUAAAAAUAGUUUUUUUAAAAAAAUAAUUAUAAAAAUAAACCUCUAAAUGCGGUGAAUGAUUCACCGCAUUCAUAACUUCUCAUUAGAAGUAGAAAAAGAAUAAAAGCGGUCGCUUUUAAAAGCGGUGAACCAUUCACCGCUUUUAUAGCACUAUAUUUACAAAUAAAUAUUUAACAGGUCUAUUUUUAAAAUAAAAUUUUAGAAAAAGACUAUUGCACUAAAAAAUCCCACAAUGAACCUUAGGAUGAUUAAUAUUCCAGCUAAUAAUAAAACAAAGGAGCCUGACCACAAGUUCGAAAAACCUUAAAUCUAUCACAAUGGAUUGUCUUAUUUGGCAAUGAUUAUAGUACAAACUGGUAUAUCAUAACAUGUAACUCAAAGUCCUCUAAUUGAUAUAUUGCAACGGCGUGAGAAUAUUUCCACUAGUAGAUCAUAUCUAAGAAGGUAACACAAUUUAAGUUUCACAAUCAAGCAUAGAGCAUUAGAACACCUCCCCCCCCUACCCCCCCAUCCCCCCUUCCCCCCCCCCAAUCCCCAAUCAAAGAAAAAAAAAACCACUCAAAUCCAAUGUAGUGGAAAUCCACUGUAGUGAAUUGUCUUAUACAAUCAGCGUAAAGUCAACUCUAAUUACUUUAGCAAAACCCUCUCCACCGAUCAGAAGAGGAAUAAAACAGUCUCAUUGCUUCCUUUUUCCAAAAACACAAAAUUUAGUUAGCCGUAUCUUAGUGUAGAUAGCACCUAAGGUUUCCAGCGGUCAAAGUCUAAGUGUAGAGCUCUCUCAACUAGAACACGAUCAAUCAAACCUAAAACAGCUAUAAAUAAAGGUGGAUCCCAAAUAGUUCCAUCUUAAUCUCAAAUCUCACAUGGGAAACAACACAAUCAUCGAUCAAAUGGAAGCGAACGAGCAUCAUCGGGAUACAAUAGUUGAGAUACGGAUAGCUCAAGAGCGAUACCUUACGGACGUAUCCGUACUCGCUCUCCUUCUCCGAGUCCUCGAAGGUCGUGAGGCGAUCGCCGUACGCCAUGGCCGAUGGGGAUCGGAGGAUCGCGGCGAGGAAGGGUGAGAUCGGAACCCUAGGUUCCGAAUCGGAGAUCGGAUCGGAGGAGAGGGGAUCAGGGACGAGGGUUUUGGUGGUGGAGAUAGAGGACGAGGACGAGAUCUAGAUGAGGAGAGAGAGCGAGAGAGAGAGAGAGAGAGGGGGGGGGAAUGAGACCAAAAAUGGAGGGAUGAGGAGGGUGCCACGAAUAAGGGAGAGAGAUGUGGUACACGGAAAUAACGCUAUGCGAGAGAGCGAUCGCAUCAGAUAAAAUUAAUUAAUUAAUUAAUUAAUUAAUUAAUCAGAAAAUAAAAAUGUAUGAAUAUGCCCCCCAUCUAUAGGAUAUUUUGAAAUUCCUCCCUCGAAGGUGAAAAUGUUUUAGAUUUGGAGUUAAGAAUUAGAACGCUUAUAAAAUUAUUACUUACAUAUUUUUAAUUUUUCACCCAUGAAUAUACUAUUUUCACCUACCCUCGCUAAACUCCAAGCAUCAAAGUGCUACAAAGGGUGAAGCACAUAAAUAGUAAUAUUUUUAUAGGGAAAAUUUCCUCUAUACCCUUCUAAAAGCAUCUGAUUUCAUAAAUGACCCUUUAAAAAUUGAAAUAUCAUGUAUACCCCUCAAAUUUAAAAAACUUUCAAAAAUACCCCUGCCAUCAAAUCCCCAUCCAUAUUAAAAUUAAUAAUAUUUAUAUUCCAACUUUACCCCUCUUAAUUAUUCAUUGGUCAAUUAAUAAUUCUAUUUUAUAAAUACCCUUUUUUAUAUUUCAAAAUUAAUUAAAUUCUAUCUAGACUAAAAAUUUAGUAAAAUUCAAUUGAUUUUAGUUUGAAAAAUUAUUCAUUUUAAUUAAAUAAAUAUUUCUAUUUGGAAUAAAUUAUAGUUAAAUUAAAUUUCAUUUUGCUUUAAUGUCAGAAUGAGAAGAUAAUUUAUUUUAGUUAUAUCUACUUUUUUUACUACAUCAAUUGUAAAGUAAUAAAUUUUUUUUAUUUGACUACUUAAUAUAGAGAAAAUUUGUUAUUAUGAAUACAUUACAACUAAGAGUAUUAGUAUAAAAUCUGACCUCAAAUAAAAAAAAUAGUUAUAUUAUGAAAAACAAACUAAAUUUUUGUAAUCAACGGACUUUACAUAAACCAAUAAUUGUUUUAAAUAAUAAAUUGAAAAAAAUUUAGAAAAUGAAAAUUUUUCACAAAUUAAGAUAAUUAUUCCAUUAAAUUUAAUACCUUUGACUAAUUUUCAGUUGAAACUAGCAAAAAUUCAUUUAAUAGUUAAUUAUUAUUAGCUAAUUAACCUAUUAAUUGAAUUUCUUUAUUAAUUGAUUAUAAUAUUUGAAAUCUAAAUGGAUAAAGAAAAUUUAAAAAAAUAUGGACCACAUACAUUUAUAUGCCCCUCAACAGUUGAGGGUAUUUUUGAAACAACGUAAAUAUUUGUAGGGGCAAUUUUGAUAUUUCAAAUUAUGUAAGGCAUCUACGAUAAUUUUGAACUUUUCAGGAGUACGAAUAAAAUUGCCCCAUUUUUAUAAGUAUUCCAGCAUAAUACUAAUAUCUAGCUUAAUGAUAAAUUAUUUUGAUCGAAUCGUGCUAUAUACACCGAUUCAGUGAGCCGAAUAGGCUCGAUGAAUAGCAGACAUAUAGUAUGAGAGAGAGCACAGUUUGUUGCAUGAGCCUCCCCUCAUCUAACAAGGAGCACCAAUUUAGCAUGCUCAAAUGGGAAAAAAUAUAUAUUUUUUGAUCCAACUAUCUAUUUUUUAAAAAAAAAUUAACUUUAUUAUCUAAACAUUUUAAUUCAUAUGACUUGAGUUAUUUAAUAGCUUUUCACUUCAAAGAUUGAAUAUAUAGUUUAUCUUAAUAGAUUUGUUUAGAUUAUCCAAUGUUUAUGUCAUUUGUUUUUAAUAGCUUCGAUAAAAAAAAAUUUACAUAUUUUACAUUACUAUAUUUUUAUAAAAACAGUAAUGUAUCCGAAUCUAUACAAGAUAAUCAUCAAAUAUUUUAAAUCAAGUAUCUUUAAAUUUUAGAUUCCCCAUGUUAAAAACUAGUACGAGUCAGACCAGAAUAUGUCAUAAUUCAGGCAAAUUUCCUUCUUUUUCACUUUUGUUUUUUUAUAUAUAAUUCAACUUUUAAUUGUUACCAUUUUGAUUAUUUUUAUCAAAUUAAUCAAAAAAGUUUAUUAAAUCUACUAAUAACUUUUAAAUUUAAUGUUUAAUUACUUCUGUUAACAAACGAUCAACAACUGAUAAAAUUAUUAAUUUAAGGAAUUUCUAGUUUACUCUUGGUUUAUUUUAAAUUAAAAAGAAAAUUAGAAAUUGAAGUUAAGGACCUGUAUGAAAUUGUACACAGUUGGGGGGGUUUCUGGUAACAAAACACAAUGAGUAAACUCCUUCUCUUAAUUGGUGAUUCAGAUCAUGUGCAAGCCUUAAUACAGGGGCAAAGAUUGUGUGGACAUAGUAUCCACAUUAACAAUUUUGGAGAUGCACUGGAUAGGCGCCACGUGGCUCACAGAACACUCAUCUCACCGUCCCUUUUUCUUUCUUAAAAUAAUAUGAUUUUUUUUUAGAGAAAAAAAAGUAGAGGAAGAAAAAGGGGAAUAAACGCCUGCGAGCCACGUGACACCCAUCGAGAACGUCUCCAAAGAUAUUAAUUUGGACACUAUGGCAGCAUUUGGUUAGGGGAUAGGAAUAGAAAUAUACCCUUAUCCCCCUUUUAUUCCAAAAUGCUAAUUUUUUAUCCGAGAAUAGCAAUUCUUAGUUAUCCCCACCAACACUUUCAUUUUCUAUAUAAAAUUAUUUAAAAUUAUUCUUAUUCCCGAAAACAACCCAAUUUUAAUCUAAACAUUAUUUUUCUUAUUCUCAUACUUAUAUCUAUUUAAUACUUAUAUCUAUUUAUGUAAUAGCUAAUUCUUGCUUAUAUCCGUACCAAACGGUACCUAUGUUCAUAAAAUUUUGCCCUUAAUACAGCAAACAGAGAUAAUGUGAAGAGCCGGUGGAAGAAUAUGUCUGCUUCGAAUCAUUUACCGCCACGUGUAAUCGAUCAGAUGCGUUUCAACACUACGCUCGCCAACAAUGGAAACACAUCCAACCGUAAAUUUUUCCCUUUUAGCGCCACUAAACUCUUUAAACCCGUAAACCGUACAUCCAUUAAAAAAUUAGCAAAAAAUUAGAAAAAGAAAAUCUCAAUAAACGUGAUUCGUGAUCCGCCAUAUCUGGAUCAGCAAACAGCCGUAGCAAAGGGGUAUUUUUUUCUUAUACAAAAACAACCGUAAUUGAAAAAACGCAUAAAUACUUCAACAUUUUUAGACCUUCUAAAUAGUCAAAAUAGAUACUCUCUACUUAUCACAUUACCAAACUAAGAUACAGACACGUAAACCUGCCACCAAUUUGAGUAAUUUAAGUAAAACUCGCUAAAGAAACAUAAAAUACAUGCAGUUCUAACCCAGCAAAUACGCAGAUAAACAGCUACUCAUCCGUGAAACAGUAAUCAACAAAGCCAACGAAGUCGGAAACGUAAAGAGGCACAACAAGUGUGCAUCUCUAACUUCAAAGGCGUGUUAGUUUAUGGAGGCAUCUAUUCACUGUACGUGUGUUCUUUAUAUUCCCUGAAAGGGCUCAUUCAAAGCUCCGCAGCCGUGCAUUUGUAUAUAUCGUACUGUAGCUUCGAAUCGAUUACAUGCCCUGAAAAAGAAAAUUUCUGUCAUUGUUUAUCUAAGGAAAUAACAAGAUAACUCUUAGCAUGCUACUGCUUAGUGGAUAAUAAGAUUAACUCUCAAAUCACAAAAAACAUAAUCUUCAACCACGACUGUUCAUGUCGAAUGAAAGCAACAUACGUGGAUGGCUAUUCAAAACGUUAAAUAUUGACAGAGGUUAAGAUUAGAUUAACUUAAUGCGAGUUUCUUAAUGUAAGCCUGCAAACUAGAAAUCUAUUCGAGCUGGUUUACUGUGUAAACUGGAUUCUGCAGACAUUCAAAUCAGGACAUCAUAUGGAACAGUCAGAAACUACGGUGAAGAACUUUGUGAAAAACCUGGAAAAAAAAAGAACAUCAAGGCGACAUAAUGUAGAAUCAGCUCAGACAUAAUGUAAAACUGAAAUCAGACAACUUGAUUCACUAGUGAGGAGAGGGAAAUUUCACUUAAAAUGCAAGUGUAGGCUUCGUUUGCUAUCGCUUAUGUUUGUUUGUUUGUUCCAAACUUAAAAUUCCUGUUCGGCUGAUGGAUUCUCUGCUCUUGUUAUUGCUGGUUGGUUUACAAACUAUUUCUUUAAGAAAAAAAAGCAAGGAAAUUUGCUACCAGUGUGUAGAUUGCACAUAAUUCGCCAUUUGACAACGCAUUCAAAUAUUCAAUUACCCAUAAUUUUGAGUUUGGAAAAAACAAAAGAAUCACCGUAAUAGAUACUAAACAAGGAUUUUAAUUUUAUUUUCCUUUUUAUGUGGCAAGUAAAUAGAUUUUCAACUCAUUUUUAUGUACCUUUAGAAGACAACUUGCUGGCCAUCAACUUGCUGGCCAUCAUAAGUUAUCGAGAAAAAAACAGAAUCAUAAUUGCCAGUCACAAGGAUGUUCAAUUACUAAUUGUACAGCAAUCAUACCUCCACAUAAACAUUCUUCUUAUCAACAUGCCUGCGCUUGUGCCUACGUGAUGGAUGGUUCGGACUACUCAUUUUUCCAGUUCUCCUUAUUCUUUUGCUGCAAUAUAUAAGUAUAACCAAUUAUGAUAUUUUCAUUCUUGGAAAGGGAGGGAAAGAUUAAAUAAGAAAAGCAAAGGAAAUGCUGAUCAACCGGUAAAUAACAGAAAAUAUUUUGUAUAGACAUAAAAGAGUCGAGGCAGACAAAGCAAUGCCCUGCAAUGAUGUGAUAAAGAAAGCCUUAGAUCGAAAUAAGACAUGAUAUUCAUUGUGAAAUCUAAGAAUAGAAAAGCAAAAAAAAUAAAAAAUAAAUAAAUCAUAACUUAUACCAUGCACCACCCCAGCAUUUUAGUUGCAAGAGGUUUUGUCAAUUCAUGCUUCUUCAGGUUCUCCUGGACAGCGUUGUGAACCUAUAAAUUGAAAAAUAAACAUUUCAGAUGUUUAGUUUGUGAACAUGCAGAGAUAGUCUACAGAAAGGUAUUAACUUCGCCAGUAACCCCGACCUUUUCCAACUGAAAUUGGUCAAUUUGGACAAAACGAAGCCAACAACUUCCGACUUGACUAGUUCUGCCCAAAUUUUAUAGAUAGAUUGAAACCCCUCUUUUCUAGGAAAAGAAUAUAUGCCCUGUAAUUUAUGCUUUCUGAGCUUGUUUUGUGCCAUUUGGGCCAAAAGUACGAAUUUUCAAAUAGAAGACUCCAGAUGCUUACAUAUUGAACUUUUUUUGCGGGAAAAAACAUAAAAAUAUUACAUCUCAGACAUUCAGGAAAAAAAUACACGUGUAUAACAGAUAUGUUAUAUUUUUCCAGCUUUGCUCAGUACUUGAGAUCUGGCAUCACAAAUUUGAAGAUGAAAGAUCAAGAGAGAUAUAUAAAAAUUGGAUACCUGGUGACGAUAUGAACUUGCUGUUUCUAAGAACUUCUGGAAAGACAAAACUACAUGCUUCUUGUAGGGCUCAAAGGCGAGGUGGACUUGUGCAACAUGAGGGCCAGUGAUUGUAGAAAUUUUGUUGAUGUGAGGCUCGGAUAAUUUCUUAGCUUCCUACAAAGGAAAGUUCAAAGAAGUAAAUAAACAAUUAACCGGUGGAAAACUAAAAGCGGUAGAGAGAUGCAGCUAAGUAAUUGCAUAAUAAAGCAAACCUUUAUUACCGCUAAGAUACCUGCACAAAUGGAUCUAUUUUUUCUUUUAAGUUGAUAAUAUGUUGGUUAAUGGUACUUCUGCAGGCUCCGUAUGCCUCAACUGUUUUACCAGAUGUCAUUCGAACAUAGUGCUCAGCAAAAUUUGCUAUGGUCAUGCAGUGAUCUCUGAUUGUAGGGAUCCAUACCUUCAAAAUAGGCCAAGACAAGGUACAAAACCAUGAGAUCCAUGCAUUACAAAAGAAUGUCCAGAAUUGAGAAGGAAGAAUAACAACUAUAUAUUGCACAUUAUGGUCAAAACAUACUGCACUAACAUGGACAUGGAGUAAUUAAGAGGAAAAGCUCACAGUUUUAGCUGCAUUAAGGUGUGGUUCCAUCCAUUUCCUUGACUGGGCUGCUUUCUCAGCAACCUGACAUAGGUUUGAGAUCCAAAUUUCCACUAAAUAAAGAUAUCAAGAUAUGAUGUUUCAAGCAUCUAUUCAAAUUACAACCUUUUCAUCCUAUAUGAUGCUAAAUUAUGUUAUCUAAAUCUGCAAAAGAUGCACCUUUUGCAGGCAAAAAUCAAUAGCAGGUCUUCCAUGUCUAUCCCAUCUAGUUGAUGCAAGAUCCUGCAAGAGGAAUUUAUAAAUAGAUGAGAGCAAGCACAUGUUUAAGUUUUUUUUAUGAAAAGAGUUUCAAAUGUACCUGAAAAUACACUACAUGCAUCACCAGCCAAUGUGGUAACCACACCCUAUAAAACUGAAAAAGAACAAUGGAAAUCUUCCUAACUAAGCAAGCUAAACAUAAGUUAAUAAAAAAAUUUUAAACCAAAUAAAACAACAAAAGAAUAAUGAUAAAGAAACAAACAUGUUGAAAGCACAUAAUAGCAUUCAAGACAGGUGAUUAUAUAAGCCAUCUAUCCCCAGCCUUAGUGGGCAAUGAGGGUUCCAAAUCAAAGAUUUCCACUCGUACCCUUAUUAAGGUUACAAACACCAGAAAACAACCAGAUAUGAAAACCAGAAAAGUUCAAACGAUAAGCAAGAUAAUAGAAGAAGAGAAGGAAAGAGAAAUACUGAAGGAAAGAUGCAUCACAGAUGGAUAUACGCCUUCUAGAAGAAGAGGAAAAUAAAAUUUCUAAGGACAUCAACCAAAAGUAAACUCACUGUUAUUGGCAUGUCUGUGGUAUUCCAUUGCUCCUAUUUUCUUUUCUUACUAGUCAUUUUUUUUUAGAGAGAGAAAGAUAGCAUGCUAUCUGCUUUGUUUAUUUUUUUUUAGAAAUAAACUUAGCUGAAAAUGUGAAACAACUAGGCUUUGUUUUCUUAUUGGUCUUGAGAUCCAAUUUCCAUGGUGCAAAUAAAUUUACUUCUUUCGGUGCAGAAGAAGAACUUCAGGAAAACAAUACAUCACCAAUGACUUUCCUACAUCAUAUCUGUUCCCAAAUAAAUAGAAAGAACCAAGCACAAGGAUCAUGCAGUGAAUUGGCAGUUCUACUCACAGCCAUUGAUCAGGGCUGAAAACUAAAUGCAAUUAUUUUUCCACUGAAUGCAACUAAACCUAAAUCAAAAUAGCCAGAUAUAACGCUCAUAUUUUACCUCCGUCAACUCCUUUGCUUUUGUUCUAGCUUCUCGUUGUGCUCCCAUUAAAUCCUUCUGCAAAAGAGUAAGAGUGGCACUAAAUUGCACGUAAGGAAAAAGGGGAGAUCCUUUUUACCAACCCACAGACCUCUGCUACUUGGAGAGAAUGUUCAAUAUCAUGAAUUUUUGCCCUUUGUUCACCAUUUGUCUUUUCAACCUAGAAAAAGAAGCAAAUCACGAGUAAAGAAGAUAUUACCAUAAGCAAUACUAUAACACAAAAAAAGGGAAUUAUUUCUAGACAAGCAUCUCUCCUAACAAUUUAUAGAUGGGAGAUAAAGUAGACAAGCCAAAAAUUCUACAAACAACAAUUCACAAUUCAUAUAUGUACUAAACAUCAGGGAGGGAAAAAAAACUUAUAUAUGUACUUACUUUUUCUAAUUUUCUGAUCAAUUUAUUUACUUCCUUCUCUGCUUCACUACCCCGAACCUCAAAAGCUUCUCUUCUCUUUCUUUUAAUCUCUAAUUCGCUUUGAAGCUUCGCAAUCUAGUAACAAAUUAACGAUCACAACCACAAUCAUUCAUUACAAAACAAAUUGCACUUUCUCCCGUACCCGGUUCUGAAGUUCUUCAUUGUGUGCGUGCACCUUUCGCACCGCUUCCUCGUCUUCCAUAACUCCUUUCUCCUACCAAAUAAUACCAAAGUUCAUAGAUCAAAUACAUUGCUUAAUCUCAGAUGAAUCGAAAGAAUAGGCACAGCAUUUUCACCUGAAGCAACGCUAUCUCACUGAUUAACGAACCAAUGUAAGCUGAUUUCUCCUUAAUUGCAUCUUCCAAAUGCCUGAUUUGAUCAUUCUUUCUCUUGAGCUCAUUUAUUCUUUCCAAAGCAGUGGAUUCUACAUAUAGGAAUAGUAGAACUCAUUGUUGUAACCCAAGUAACAAAUGUUCGCAUUUUUUUAAUACCUAAAUGUUGCUAAAAUCCAAAUUAAAGAUAUAAAACAUCAAUCAAGAGAGAUUAAGCUCGCACAUCAAGUAUGGAACCACAAAUUAACUAAUAAAUCACAGUUGCUUAUGAAGCAUAUACAAACAACUCCAAUCACAUCAAUUUUACAGAAGCAGUGAACUCUUACAUGAAUAAAUAGUAGAAUUUAUUAUUAUAAUCCAAAUUAACAAAUUUGUACCUAAAAAGUUGCUAAAAUUCGGAUUAAAGGGAUGAAACACGAAGAAGUUGAGAUUAAGAUCUCGUACUUAAAAAUAAAACAAGGCGAGAAAUUUGGACUCACCUAGGGAUUCGAUCUUCGAUUUAAGCUUCUCGAUUUCCUGUUUUGGCUUCAAAUCGAAGGCCUCUGAGUCGAUCGCGUCGCCUAUCUCGUAUUUAAUACCUAAAAAGUUGGUAAAAUCGAGAUUGAGAUACCGUAUUUAAAAAUAAAACAAUGCGAGAAAAUUGAGCUCACCUAGAGUUUCAAUCUUCGAUUUAAGCUUCUCGAUUUCCUGCUCUGGCUUCAAAUCCAAGGCUUCUGAAUCGAUCGCGUCCCCUAUCUCGUAUUUAAUACCUAAAAGGUUGCUAAAAUUCGAAUUAAAGAGAUGAAACACGAAAAAGUUGAAAUUAACACGUCGUAUUUAAAAAUAAACAAGGCGAGAAAUUUGAGCUCACCUAGGGUUUCGAUCUUCGAUUUGAGCUUCUCUAUUUCCUGAUUUGGCUUCAAAUCCAAGGCCUCUGUAUCAAUCACGUCGCCUAUCACCGCAUCGCAUCGGUCGCAACAGAGCAAUACGAAGAGUAGAAUCAGAACCACAAGAAGCUUCGAAUCCGCCAUUUUCGAAGGGGAACCUCUUCUACUUUUCGCUUUUCGAGAGGAGAGGGAGAGGAGAGGAGAACGCGGGAGAAUGAGGGGGAAGAGUUUUAUUUAUUUAUUUAUAUAUAUAUAUAUAUAUAUAUAUAUAU